This 54362-nucleotide long non-coding RNA is filed under the name Solanum tuberosum (potato). Its description in RNAcentral is "long non-coding RNA (STUB_LNC005057)". Lineage: Eukaryota; Viridiplantae; Streptophyta; Magnoliopsida; Solanales; Solanaceae. The record is from RNAcentral.
AGUGAUGAACCAGGAUAUCUUUAAGAGUGGUAGUCACAUCUUCCCACAUCUGACAGGUAAUUCCAUUAUACCUGUAAAAGUUCAGAUUGCUCAACUCAACAUAAAGCAAGACUAUCACUUGAUGAAAAGGGAGGAAGAUCAUGUAUAUAAACUGCAAACUAGCCAAGUCCUUUCAAGUUAAAGAUUCCCGUACAGAGUUCUUCUGGAUGUGUUCCCUCCCAUAAGAAAGAAAAGAUUACUAAGAAUUUCCUUUUCUUACAUUUUCUUUCUUUCAUUCUCUCUCUUCUUUUUCUUCCUUUCCCAUGCUACUACCUUCUCCACCAGCACCACCACCUUCCCUAUUAAUGCUAACCUUCUGUUAGUGCCACCAAUUUCAAACCCUAUUUAUGAUCAAAACUAAACCAAUGAAGCAACCAUUUUUAGUUUGGGAACGGAGGAGAGGAACUGACUGGCGACCUACAUGGAAUGGAGGAAAGAAAUUGCUGGUUAAUUGUCAGAUUUCAUUCAAGUAUGUGGGGUUAUUUUUCAUUGGGAGUUCAUGAAAUUAUUGUAUUUGCUGGCUUGGAAGUUUUCUAGUAAAACAAGUUGGAAAAGUCUGUUGUUCAUCCAAUUUUAUUCAAGUUUUUCAUCCUUCUUAUUGCUUGCGACUCUCUGUACAACUGAGCUUUGAGGUUAUUUUUUCUUUUCUAGGUUAAGUAUCAAAGAUUUUGUUGGUUCUACUCCCAAGUUUGUUUAUUUCGCUUAACCAAUUAUUUAAAUGAUUGUUUCUGUUAUCUACACAUGCUACUGAUAGGUAUUUCAGUGGUGAAGUGGUGGUUAGGGUGGUAGAGGGUUGGAGGAAGAAAAUGUAGGAAAGAAAGAAAGAACUGAAAAAAAGGGAGAAGAAGACAGAUAGAAGGGCAUAAGGUGAAUAACGAGCCACAGAGAGAGGCUGCUAACAACGGAAGAAAGAGAGAGGUUGCUGACAGCAGAAGUAAGAAAGGGAAAAAAAAGAAAAAGAGAGAAAGAUAUAAACUAAUAAAAACAUCAAUAGAGGAAAAAUGGAAAUAGAAGGUUAUGAAGUUGGCAUGUGGAAAGCAAGGAUUGGCAUGGAAAUCACUUGCUUUCUUAAUACUGGGAUUGACCCAAAAAUAGGGUAAUAUACCAGUUCGAAGCUGUUCCGGGGGCCAUAGCUCCCCACAAAGUCGUGUCUUUUUGGACAUCAGGGAUUAGCUUAGGAAAGCUCUGUGUAUUUUUCCCAAAAAAAAAAAGGUGAGAGAGAAGGAGAACGAAGCAAACAAUAGACAAGAAGGAAAAGAAAGGAAAAGGGGAUGAAAAUUGAAAACAACAAGGCAGAAGCUAGAGUACAUUUUUCAAAGCUGCUGUCGGGUUUGACUUAAUGGCUGAUCUUUUUAAAGAAGUAUAAAGUGGUCCAAGGUUAGUGCAAACCAAGAAAAUACACUGAUUGAAUCAACUUUGUUAGAGCAAGUGUAUUUUCUUAUUUGGGCCACAAAUCAAUUUAUUUUUGCAACAAACAAGGUUUAUCUUUUAGUUAUUAACAAAGCAAAGAAAAAUUCAAUAAAUUGGACUAACCUUGACCACUUAACACAACUUAAAAGAAACAAGUUUAUAUUGAAAACACUUGGAAGUAAUUAAAUAGAUAGAUACUAGCCACAUUGUUAACCAGCUAAAAAUAUUUAACUAAUUCUAAGUAGGUAUAUGUAUUUAACAUUCAUUUGCAGCACACUUUCCUUUUAUCCAUAUUCUUUUUCUCCACAACAUAUUGAUAUCUCCAAAUCAGAAAAUUUAAAAGAUACCGAAUCCGACCUCUAGAACCAUAGCCAUAUCAAAUACUUGCACCUGUGUCCAUGGCCCCAUGCAAUAUAGGUUUCAUGAAUUCAUUCGCUGUGAUCCUUGUAGAAUGCAUGCUGUCAUUUACUUUUUUGCUUAAGCUUUUGUGGUAUUGGAUAUUGCAGUUGUGUGCUAACCCAUCUUUCUAGCCUACAGAAAAUUCUCUGAUUGGACAUUUAUUUGGGGGGGGGGGGGUAUGGACUACUAUAGUUGAAGCAGACAUUGUUGUGGGGGAAAUUAUGACGAUGAAAAGGAACCAUGAAGAUGCUGAAUUGAUUGGUAACUGGACUGUAGCAGAAAGCUAGUGGCUGUAGAAGCAGAGGACACUGCUUUUUAAAGUUACUUCCAACCUAAAGAAAAGCUUAUGUAAAAUUCAAAUGGAAACCUGAUUAUUUUGAUGAAGCUAUAAUGACAUAUCAGAGCUCAUAGUUUAUCUUAUGCUCUUUUGAUCUCGAGUACUUUUUGAUUUGCACAUAUUCAAAUGGUUGAGAGUAUAUUUGAUUUUGCUUUCUGAUUAAUGUCAGGCUCUCAAACAACAUGAAAUUGUCCAUGACCUGUAUUUUAAGGUCACCUUGUAUGAUGUUAUUGAAAAAUACAACAACUUACCCAAUCCCACAAGUGGGAAAAGGGCAGCCUGGUGCACAAAGCAUCCAGCGUUAGCUGAGAUGUUAUUGAAAAUAUUGUACAAAAUUUAAAUCUUAUUUCAUUCCAUGGAAGUUUCCUUUUGGCUUUUAAAAAUCUUCCUAUUUGUCUAUUCAGCCUUGUGGCUUUCACUGAAUUUGGCAGGUUGUCCUUGGUCAUGAAGGCCUUAGAAGAAUAGUGUUUCUUGUCUCACUUAUACCUUACCCUUAUGUGUGUUUGUGCAGGUGAACGUAAGGACCAGAAAACUCUAGAAAAACUACGAGCUGAAAGGCAAGCCAAGAUUGAGGAACUCAAAGAGAAGACAAAUUACUAUAUAACGCAACAGCUCAUUCAGGUGAUCGCCCAUAUGCAAGGUUUUGGGCUUAUACAAGUUUCACAUGUUAUUAACCAUGAAUACUGUGAUCAGAAAAAGGAAAAAAAGAACCAUGAAAUUGCACUCUGAGAGACUUAUUUAGUAUUACAUUUCUCACUCUUUUGUCCUUGCCUCUAUUGUCGUGAUUUUCCAAAAAACCUUUUUUUGACAAAUUCCAAGCAUCAUUGUUGAAUCUUUUGUGCAGAGAUAUGACCCCGACCCAGCAGCUAAGGCAGCUGCAGCCACUGUGCUUGCAUCCAAGCUUGGUACAGAUACUGGCUUGAAAGUGUAUGUGGGAGAGGACACUAAGCAUAAUGUCCCUACUGGGAAGAGCAACGAUGUUGAAGUUGUGCAAUCUACUGGGCUGAGAAAUAGGAAGCAGGCAAGGUCUAGUAGUCCAGAGAGUGCUGUAAUAGAUCAUCCUGGUGCGGAAAUGCGUCAACAGGCACAGCUUGAAGGUUCUGAUAUGAUGCAGAAUCAGCAAACGGUUGUUGAGCAUUACAAUCCGACAGGUUCCAGCACACAAGAUGGAGGAUGGAUUGCACGAAUUGCAGCGUUGCUUGUAGGAGAGGAUCCAACCCAGUCUUAUGCACUCAUCUGUGGCAAUUGCCAUAUGCACAAUGGUAAGAACUAAAGAAUUCAAUGAUAAUAAAACCCAAUUAGUGGAGCAGAUUCACUUAAAGAAUGGUGAAUAAGUAAUGGCAUUACUAUCAUUUGCAGGGUUGGCCAGGAAAGAGGACUUCCCUUACAUAACCUACUAUUGCCCUCAUUGCCAUGCCCUGAAUAGGCCUAAGCAACUUGAUGAUCGUGUCUCUGGUACCAGUACCCCUAACCUUGGUUCCACAACUUCUUUGGCUGAUGUUGAUUCGGUCAAACAAGUCGGUGGAUCUACUCCGGAUAAGAUACCCGCAUCAGCAAGUGGCAGUCCUGUAGCAGCUCCAGUGGAAACAGAAGGUGAUAACAUAGUGUCCAGUGUUUCUAACAGCUAGUAGAUGGCGAGUUUUGAAUAGAGUCGUGCAGGCGAGUGCUUUUUUUCCCUAUAUAUGUGUAGCGGGUUUUUUUUUCUUUUCUGGGUAAUGUGUAACUCUCUGUUGUAUACAUAGUAGAAACAUAUUCAACGAUUCAUACGGUAGCUUCCCUGGAAACUUUUCUACAGGCGCAAUAUACCUCAAUUUCCUCCAAUUUGUUUCUUUUGUUUUGAGAAAUAUUAGGCCAUCAGCAGAGCUUUGUGAGAUUUUCUGACUGCAGAGUUUGCAGUUCCUCUCACGUGUAUUCUCUUCUUGAAUCAUUUGUCAAGUACAUUCUCCUACAUGAUUGAGUUUGUAUAUUAUCCAAGUGAGCUUUCCUACUUCCAUUUUCACUUGCUUGGCUAUUUGUUUUUGCCUCUUUUUUCUUAUUGUUGUGAAUAAUCAUUGCCCUUCCAUCGGCCCGAAGACAUCACACGAGCGAAACAAAAUUGUCAAGAGCUACAUUUCAGGUACGUGUAUAUGGCGCCAUGAUUGUUAAGGUGGUUUGACAUUUGUGCAAUGACACCAACAUAUCCAGUGUAGUCCCACAAAAUCGUCAAAAAUUAAAGAGUCAAGUCUUUUUGGAAACGCAUCAUGAAGUGUGCUGGUUGAAGUGAGAUUGUCUCACCGGAUUGUUUCGAACAUAAUGAAUGAGUGUGUAUUUGAAUAAAUUCAAUUCAUCAACACUCUCAUCAGAUCUCGUUGGCAUGCCUCACCAAAUGAAAAGAAGUCAUAGGAGCAACCCGCUCAGUGGUUUGGGCGUUGGAGGUCUCAAGUUCGAAAUCCCUUGCCAGUGAAAGCAAGGGGUUUGCCUUCUGGGUCGAGCUCGUCGCAUCAGACUUGCCUAGUGCAGGUUACCUAUGUUUUACCCUGUGCGCACCUAAAGGAUAGCGGCUGCGGGGUUUCCUUGUCAUAAAAAAAAAGUCGUAGGAGCAAGUUAAGAGUUAGUAUUCUCUGACUUCAUUCUUACGCUAUAUAUUAAAAUGACUUAAUAUUUUCAGCUUUAUUUAAAAUUUGAGUUCUUUUUUUUUCAUGAAUAUACAUGUUCAUGGAAUUACAUCAACUAUUUAGAAUAGUCCUUUUGCAACUCUAUGAAUUCAAGUCUUCUUAAGAAGUGAUUGAGUUAAUUUGCAUUAUACUAGAGUUUUAUUAGAUCAAAAGGAGUUAACCUUUCUUAAACAGUGAUUUUUAUGUGAAAAACAAGUCUUUUUCUAUUUUGUUUCGAGUGAAAAAUUGGAAACUGUUAAAAAAUUUAAAGAAAAAGUGAAUAAAAUGCUCAGUUGGAUUAAAGAAAGAAAGAAAAAAAAACUAUUAUAGUGCAAAAUGGAAUAUUGUUUCCAAUAUCAUAAAAGUUGUCUAUCAAGUUAAUUCUUUUUUUAUUUCCCAUCCGGUGUCUGGUAUCCAUAUUAAAGCUUGAUUAGCCCACAUUGGAGGAUAAAGUGCUCCCUAACAAAGACGACUCCGUACCCAUGGGAACUCAAAUCCGAUACCUUUAUUAAGGAUGAAGGAGUAUUUACCACUCCACUACAACUCUUGUUGGUUUCUAUCAAGUUAAUUCACCAAACGAGUUUGUUAAAUGAAAGAAUAUUUACCAUUCUAUCAUAACUUUUGUCGGUUAUUCUUAUAAAAUAUCAGUCUCAUAUUAUUUGAAAUGAUACCAUAUUUAAUCGCUUCUUGACUAACCUUUCACGAUUUCAAAUACACCAUCAAAUUCAUGUUCAUAUGUAUAGACUAGAUUCAUUAAAUCAACGUUUCUAACAAAAACUUUUUCUUAAAAUAAAAUAAAUAAUGAAAGGAGUAUAUUAUAACAAUAACAAAGAUUGAAAAUUAUAAUGAAUCAUGUAAGAUUUUUUUCUCAUAACUGCAUGAUUUUUUUACUCACAAUUGCAUAAUUAAUAUGGGUCACCAAUAUUCAAUCACCUAUUAAUUAUCCAAUCCGCUUAUUUGUCACUCAUAUAUAUAAAAUAUUACUUAGUUUUUUUUUAUAUAUAUAAAACUCCACAUAAUUAACACACAUAACUUAUAUAAAUAUAUGCAUUGUUUUAUACAUGAUAAAUUAUGUAGAAGAAUUAUACAUGUAUUAACAAUACUAAAUUAAGCUAAUUUUUUAUGUAGGUAUUAUAAUUUCCAUUUCAUUCCCCAUAUAAUCAAUGUGACCACAUAUAAAUAUAACCUCUCCAUAACUUGUCAAUAAAAUCAAACUAUAUCUUAUUUCCUCUAUCAAUUUAUAUAGUAACAUUUUAUUAUUUGAGAAGUAAUCAUCCUUAUUUUGAGCAAGUUCUUCUGAAAUAUUUUCUAGUUAAUCUCAUUUUUUAGUUUUUUUUUUUCCGUCAUUUUUUAAUGGACAAAUUAUACUUCAUGAAAAAGUUAAUACCAACAUAAAAAAAUCAUUUGUCCCUUCAAUUAAUUGAAGUUCUCACCAGAAUGUGGUGCGGAUGCUGAAUGGAUCUGCCUUUCCCUUUACUCAAAAAUCUCGAUGUUGAAUUUAAAUAUAAAAAUAUUAUUUUUUAGAUAGAAAAUACUUUCAUUGAAUUAAUUCGAUUCAAAUGAGGAUAUGAUAUCUAAUGAAAUUGGAAUUUUUUCAAUAGAAAACUUAACUGGGUCAGUUUACGACCAAUCUUUCUUUUUUUUCUUCCUCAAAACUCCCCAACGUUCUUUAAUUCCCUACAAAGAUUAGCUGAGAUCUGAAACAAUUUUUUCCACUGAAUUCACCAGAUCAAAUCCUCUGCAUAUUUUUGUAUUGUGAUUGCUGAAAUCAUACAAGGAUUUUUAAAAAAAUGGUACUUGUAGCAGCGGUGAGGGACUAUAUCAAUCGCAUGUUGCAAGACAUUUCUGGGAUGAAAGUCCUCAUUCUUGAUUCCUCUACGGUUUGUUCUUUUCUUUCCACAAUUUAAAGAAACCCUUUUGUCUGCUUCUUUGUUUGUGCAUAUGUCUUUUGUAAAUUAUUGAUUUUUGUGAAGAUAGUUGAGGUUGAUGAGGGUUGUUGUCUGAUCUGACAAUGGGUAAGUGUGGGUGAUAAUUCAAGUUCAGUGCAAUUACUUCUUUAGUGGCGCAUUUUUGAGUAGUAAAUCCGGUGAUCUGAUGCUUUUCUUGUUUGAGUUAAUAUGUAAUUACCAAACAACAACAACAACAACAACAACAUACCUAGGAAAAUUCCACUAAGUGGGUUUGGGGGUAGAGUGUACGUAGACCUUACCACUAGCUUGAGGAGGCAGAAAGACGGUUUUUGAAAGACCCUCGGCUCAAGUGCAUCAAACCCAAUAUGUAGUUACCAAAGAAAGAAAAAAAAGACUCUUGAGCUUCAAUCAGUAUAUCAACCAGUCAACUACUUUUAUAUUAGUUGGGUUAGCUAUGUGAAUCAUUUGUACCCAUUCUGUAUCUGUUGAGGUUUAUUUCAUUUUAAUACUAAAUAUUUUGCUUUAAUCCAACUUAGGAGUUCCUUAAAAACCAGAAUUCUCUGAAUAGUAUCCCUACAAAGAUAUACAGGUCUAACCAAGAAUUGUUAGCAGUGCGGUCAAUGAAACACUAAAGGAAUAUGGAAGUGCUCAUUGCUGAGGCUACAUUAAGAAUUUGAUCAUUGAGGAUAUGGGGGUAGAUUUUGAGAUGCAGACAUGGUAUUAAUAAUUCCUAACUUAUCAGAUGUUUGCUUAAUACAUCUGAAAAAGGAGAAGAAAGCAUGAAAGGUGUUAUCAUUAGUUGUGGUAGUGAUGGAGUUGUCAUGGAAGUGAUUGUAGUAAAGCAAAGAUGCGAAACCCUUUCUUGUUGGUGAAGUUAUGUGGUUGGAUGAGGUGACUAGACUCUAGGCAAUGCUUGCACACUUUACUGUGCUAGUUUGUGUUUGAUAAGCUGUUAUUUAUAAAUUUGAUAUUAGAGCAGCCAUUAUACUUUCAAAGAGAUGUAAGCUGCUGUUUAUGAAUUCUGAAGAUAGAGGAUCAAAAUUUUGUUUCUUGCUGGAGUGGAUUCAGGCAUGAUUUGGAACUUGGAAGAUCUGAAUGAUGCCUAAGGCAGCAUGAGACUCUAUAUAGCUAGAAGACGAAUCAGGAGCUUAUCAAAACAGUCACAAUUUUGCAUUUUGGGAAGGGUGGAUGGAGAAAUGAUAGAUGUUUUAUAUGAAGAAUGAAUGAAGAAGAGAAACCUUUCAGUGUUUGAAGUCCGAAUGCUUAUCGUUUUUGGUGGUUUUAGGUGUAAUCUAGUUGUAAAAUGAUUUACAUAUUGUAAUGAUUUUGUUAUUUCUCUACAUAGGUUGGGGUGAGUAGAUGUUUGUACUUUCUACAGAUUUAGCUCCCAUUUGGUGCUACUUACUUAUGCGUUUGAGUGUGUAUUCGAUGAGCAUUGUUUCAAGUGACAUGACCAUGAUUGAAAUAUCACUGCACAACUAGUACAAUUUAGAAGUUUUAUGAUUCACUAGUUGUGAAUGCUCUCUACAACAACAAGCAAAGUAUGAGGCAGCAAGGGACGUGUCACACCCUAGGCAAAUCCUGCAUCAGGCAAACACAUGCUGCGUAUGUAAGGAAAUAAGCAUUAGACCCUACUGACGCGCUUUGAAGCCGUGUGGUUUAGAUCCAAAAUGGACAAUAUCACCAGUGGGCUGGGCUGCCUAAUAGAUGAAAACCCUAUAAAUUCCUUUCCAAUAGGGUUUCUUCUCAGUUCAAUAGCUUUGUCUCAUAUGUGUUGCCUACCAUGUUGGCUUCUUGUCUAGCAAAAGCUGCCUGUUCCAGAAGAUUUUAUGCAACCAACUUAUUAAUGGCCUUAGUCUGUAAGAAGAGGAAUAGAAUAUGCUUUAUUAGAUAGGUUAUGGAGACUAAACGAAGAAAAAAAGGAGACUUAAAAGGAUAUGAUAAACGCUAAAUAUGGACAAGUGAACUUCUGGAAGCCUAGCCCUCUGGCAGCCGCUUACAAGAAUACAAUUUGGAAAAAGUAUUUGUCAGCUUUGGGAAGAAUUUCAACUGUAUAUGUAGUUGAAAAUUGGAAAUGGUAAGAGAACAGAAAAACUGGUCUGAUCAUCUUCGGAGAUGCCAAAUCAAAACUCAUUUCCUGUUUUUAUGUAUUGCAUGGUGGUGGAUUGUUAUAUUCAGUUUACUCUUCUAGAAGAAUUUUUAAUGAUUGGGAGGUGGAUGAAGCUUGUGAAUCAUUGAAUUUAUUGAGGCCAAUUAAACAGGAUGAGAACAGCAGAGAUAGGUGAUUUUUGGUUGGCGGGUAAUUAUGGUGUAUUUUUACCUUACCUUCUUAGGAAAAGAGUAAUAGUAGUGCAUUCUCCGUGCAAGUUGCUACAAAAGCAAGCUGAAAAUUGGAAAGCUGAGUGGCCAUGGGAAGUGAUUUGGAAAACAAAAGCUCUUCCAAAGAGGCUUGUUUUUGGUUGGGUGGCUACAAAGAAUGCUUGCCUAACGUUGGACACUUUACAAAGGAGUGGAAUUUCAUCGUGUAGCAAAUGCUUUGUUUGUGAAAUAGCAUGGGAAACCACUGAUUCUUCUACUGCAUUUUGACUCAACCCGACAAGUUUGGACAUUAUUUCUGUAUAUUUUUUGGGUGUAGUACGUGAUGCCAAAGGAUGUCAAGAAUCUAAUGUCAAGCUGGCAGGAACAGAGCAUCGGGAACAAUCUCAAACGAAUUUGUUGGACUUACCCAUUAUGUAUCACGUGGAAUAUUUGGCUGGAAAGAGAUAAGAGAUGUUUCGAAGAGAAGAAGCUACAUUUAUCUCUAGUUGAAUCUGUAUGUAUUCAUAGUUUGUUCCUCUGGUGCAUCGACACAGGAUGGAGAACCUGGAGCCAGAGGUGGACCCACAUGGAAGGGUGAUGGAUCAUGGGACCCUGUUAACUUCGGAAAAGAUCUUGUAUAUGUGUGUUAUACCUUGAUAAAGGAUCAUUUAUCUUGUUAGGCACCCUGAGACACAAAUGUUGAUCAGGUGCACUGGUCCAACUUGUUGCUUAGUCCCUCUGCGCAAGUGUGAUCGCCAGUAUUCAAAUCUUCGUCGUUGCAUUCUUCUUGCGAAGAGGACCUUAAUAUGUAAAGUGGGUUCACAUCCAUCAAACUGCACAAUGAGCCACUGUUUUAUUUUUUCUCGUUUAAUAUUUAUCAAUCUAAGUACAUCAGAUUUUGUGUGUGUAAAAUAAAAUUUUCGACGAAGGGGUGUCGCAUGACACUGCUUCGACUAAUAUGCAUCCGCCUCUGGUGGUGCCCCCGCCAUGUUCAAAUCCUGGGUCUGCCUGAUCAUCUUUUUGGUUUUUGAACUCCACGAUGGCAAAGAUAUAAUGAAGUCAUUGUGAUUGUCUUUUUUGAACACUUUUGCAAUAUUUUCUUGGUACUAGCUUAAAUAAAAUCAUCUUUACAUUAUUAAUAAAAAAGAGUAUAUGUGUUGCAUGUGCAACAACUUUGUUGGUGGAAGUUAGAGAUCUACUGUAAGGGUGUAUUAGGUGUGGAUUCUGGAUUCUGCAGGAUGGUUUGCUUUAAAAUUUGAGCUCUUUCCUCUUCUAAUUAGAUUUUGUCUAUUGGAUACAUCAGUUGGUGUGGGAUGGUUUUAUGGAGGAUAGUCUUCUUUGACAUUUAAGCCUUUUUUUUUUUUGAAAACUCAUUUCAGCCUUUUCUUUUUCUACCUGUAUGUACACUCUUUUUAGAUAGGUUAAGUGUUAACCUUAUUGAAAUACCUGCAUAAAGUGAAUGCCAGGAGAGAUUACAACCACAAGGAUGAGCCAUUACAAGUUAUUUAAUGCACUUAGAAGUCAACAAUGGCCAAGGUAUCAUUUACAUCUGAAAGGGCCAUGUUGCACCAAAGCCUAAGCAAAAUAUACAAUUGCGCUAAGAAUAUAAUCUUCAUUUCUUCAAAAAAAAUUGUGGUUGUUGAAGAAUUGUGCACCAGAAAGGAUAGGAGCACCACCUUAUACCUAGAAUGUUGAAGACCAUAUCCCAAAACUGAGAAUUAUACUUGCGGUGAAGAAAGAAGUGGUUAAUGUUCUCUUCCCUUUUCUUGCAAAGACAACAUCUGUUGCUCAACUGAAAAUUGUUAGGAGUAAGAUAAGCCUCUUUAAUAUCAUCGAAAUGAUAUUUCACUUUGUAUGAAGCUUUACUCCACCAAAUGGUUUUCCAGGGCCACAGAGGAGUAGGUGCUGGUUUUUCCAACAGAGUGUAGCAGCUUCUAACGGUGAAGGCAUCUUUGGGGGGUUCCUUUCCAUUUGAGAUUGUCCAUGGUUGCAUUAAGCUAAGGAGAGAUGUCAUGUUGUUACAAUAGGCCAAGAUAGCUAUCAAGUUCCCAGUCAUUGAGGUUCCUUCUAAAAAGGAUAUUCCAACCAUGACCAUCUCGAAAAUUUGCAACAGUUGCCAUUUGAUUUGAGGAGAGACUAAACAGUAUUGGCAAGGGUUCCUUGAGUCGAGAAUGGCUGAGCCAAGUCCAGCCAAAAUCUUAUAGUUGCCCAUUUCUUUCUUUGUGUUUGCCCCAAAAAUUCCCACACAUUCCGAAUUUAUUUCCAGACACCCAGCGUCAUGGGGAAAGUGACGCCCAAGGAUGCAGCAUACCAUAUUAUAGAAACAAUAACAUUCCUCCAGAGAUCAUUAUGUUCAUAAUUAAACCUCUAAAGCCAUUUACAUAACUAACUUCUAUUGUGGCUUUUUAAAUCUCGAACACCUCACCCCUAGCUUCUUAUCCAUUGUUGCAGAUCCACUUAACCAAGUUGGAAGAACUUUUUUCCUUGUUGCGUUGUCAUAAGAAAGCGCUCCGGUUUUCUUCAACCCUUUGGGCACCGCUACCUGCAUUAAAUAGUGACAUAGUGUAUGUAGACAAUGGGUCUAGUACACUGUUAGAACCAGUCUUCCGUCCAAGAGAAAGAUUUUACCUUUUCCAAUCCGAUGGUUUCUCUUCACGCCCUUUUUUUUUUGUAGUAUUUCAUCCCAAAUAGAAAUAAAAUUAGCUUUAGCCCCAAGAGGAAGUCCAAAAUAUAUGGUCGUCAAAUAAUCAAUAUUACAUCCCAAAGUUUCUUCUAGAAGGUUAAUAUUCUGAAUCAAUUCUCAGGAAAACAACUACUUUUGGAGUAGUCAAUUGCUUAUUGGUACAUUCUUUUGGUAGUUAAGUUGGUAAAAUAUGGCCACAAAUGAUGUAAUUCUGGUAACUAGGAGAGCUUGCCUGACCCUGACAGGCUGACACAUGAUAAACUUAAAAAGAGGGGAAGAAUUAUUGCCUCAAGAUGUUAUCUUUGUAAAGAGGCUCUAGAAACCAACAAUCAUCUAUUCCUCCACUGCAAAGUAACAACACAAGUAUGGGCUCUAUUCACCAAUUUAGCUAGCCUAAAUUGGAUUAUGCCAGAACAUAUAGCAGACCUAACUAAGUUGUUGGGUCAGUAAGGGGAGGUAGUAAGAGCCAGGAGGAGGGUGGUGGAGAACAGUACCUGCUUGUAUCUGGUGGAUCAUUUGGAAGGAGAGAAAUCAGAGAAUUUUUGUAGGGAAAGAAUGCACUAUAGAGAAGAUUAAUUGGAAAGUAAUUACACUUUAGGUUUUGGUGUAAGAAAUGAACAUAGAAGAAGAAAAUUCAACUAGUGGAUUUCAUAGGAGCUUUGUAAGUAGUUCUGUUUUCUUUUUUUUGUUGUUAUUUCUAUGUAACUAACACUUUUGCAGGUGGCCAGCAUAGCCCUUAAUGCUGAGGAAUUCAAAAUUACCAGUUUCAAAAAAAAAAAAAAAAAAAGCUUUACCAGAAUAAUAAUUAAUUUUGUUGGAUUCUUAAGAUGUUAAGUGCUAGUUAAGUUUUAGUUGAUUAUAUCUGCAAAAUGUCUUACUGUGUUAAUGCUAUCCAUUCAUAAAUCGUUGUUGCCAAAUCAGGUGUAAAACUUAAUAAACCUGAGGUCAAUUAUGGUAUUGUUGAGUCUCACAUCUCAUAAAUUCUGAGAAGUGCAAUACAGAGUGAUGUUUACUUUUCACUCUUGAUGAGCAGGUUAGUUCUGUUAGUGUUGUGUACUCUCAGUCAGAGCUUCUGAAGAAGGAGGUGUUCCUGGUGGAGCUGGUAGAUUCUAUUGCCAUGUCCAAGGAAUCCAUGUCACAUCUUAAAGCAGUUUAUUUUUUGAGGCCAACAUCAGAGAAUAUCCAGCAUAUGCGUCGUCAACUAGCUAAGCCACGAUUUGGAGAAUAUCACCUUUGUAAGUAUGUCCUCUUUAAUUGGAUGACAUGAAAAAUUUGCUAAUAUACGUCUGUGAACUGGUACUUUUCAGAAGAACUUAGUUUUGAUGCUGUUGUCAGUGUUUCUCAAGAAUGACACAUUUCAUAUAUCCUUUUUAUUGCACAGUUUUCUCCAAUAUUUUGAAAGAUACUCAACUUCAUAUGCUAGCCGAUUCAGAUGAGCAUGAAGUUGUCCAGCAGUUGCAGGUAUGGUUAGGUUGUUAAGGUAUUGUGAAUUCAAACAUAGAAGUUUUAAAUUUUUUGAAAUAAAAUCAAGUAUAUAUUUGGAAACAAUGUACUCUAAAUCACACUAAUUAACCACGAAAGUUAUAUGGCAAUCUUACAAGAUAUUUUUCCAAAUAAAGGUGAUUGUUUAACUUUUUGCAAAAAAAAUAGUUUUUCAUACUCCAAAAAAAUACUCCCUCCGUCACAUUUUAUGUGGCACCAUUUUCUUUUUAGUCAGUCCCAAAAAGAAUGUCACAUUUCCUUAUAUGGUAAGUUUAUAAAGGUACAAUUCCUCUUUUAUCCUUGUUGGUCCCACUUAAUCUUAAAAUAAUACUCCAAUACAUUUAUGAGGAGAGAGAAAAAAGAGUCUACUUUUUAAAGGGCAAUUUGGUAAACAUUUCAAAGUCUUCAUUUAUUUCUUAAACUUCGUGCCCGGUCAAAUGUUGCCACAUAAAAUGGGACGGAGGGAGUAUCAUUUUCUGCUAUUUUACUGGUUUUAGUUUUCUUGUAAGAAGAGCAAGGAUUGUAGUUUGUUUUUUGUGUAAACAUCUUUUGGUUUCCAGCACAAUCUUUGUGCUGAAGAUUCAAAUAGUAUACCAAUAUGUUACCUUCUAAAAAAGGGGAAAUCAUUCGCAAUCAAAAAGAAUAUUGUAUAGUAUUGAAAAAUUUAAGAAAUUAUAGCUCUAUCCACUAUCCAGAAACUGAAGAUGAAGUGCCUUGCCCUUUUCUAUUGUUGGCGUAUAAACAUGAAUAUAUAGAAGACAUAGAAUCUUCUAUUGAUGUUCUAAGAUCUCUGUAAGAUGGUGAUAGCUUAGUACAUCUUCCUAUAUUCCCCUGUAAGUAUGGACACGUGCAGUUUUUAUGCAGUAAAUAGUCAUACAAAAAAUGUUACCCUCUCAAAAAAAUAAUGAUUAAGAAAUUGUUGCUGAUACAUAUUUCUAUUAGAGCUCUAAAAAUUUGUUGUAGCCUGUAACUUGUUUAAAUUUGUAGUUGAAACUAGAAAUUCGCUAUGUUACAUGAUUAUUGACGUGAUUUGCAGGAAUUUUAUGCAGAUUUUGUUGCAUUGGACGCUUACCAUUUCACGUUAAAUAUUGCCGCAAACCACAUGUAUAUGCUCCCAGCAGUUGUAGAUCCAUCAGGUUUGCAGCAGUUCUGUGAUCGAAUUGUUGAUGGAAUUUCUGCAGUUUUCCUGGCGUUAAAGCGAAGGCCUAUUAUUCGAUAUUCAAGGACAUCUGAUAUUGCGAAAAGAAUAGCACAUGAAGCUUCUGUAAGCAUGCCAGCUGUUUCUUUCUUUCCCCUCAACUUUAAUUGUUCGUGCUUUGUAGCCUAACAAGUUCUAUUAUUAGGUUUAUUUCAUUUACCCUGCUUAGGGUCGAAGGUAUAGUUGGUUUUGGAUAUUUGAGAUAGGAAAAGGAAAAAGUUGAACAUGUGUUUCAUUCAUAUUGCAGAAGCUGAUGUACCAGCAGGAGAGUGGCCUUUUUGAUUUCAGAAGAACAGAAGUGUCUCCAUUGUUGCUAAUAAUUGAUAGGAGGGAUGACCCCGUGACUGCACUGCUUAAUCAGUGGACUUAUCAGGUAUGGGUAGUCAGUAAGUUCUCCAGGUUUGUUAUUUCUAACAAAUUAUGUCUCCCCCUCUUUUUCUUCUUCAAGUCACCUCGGAGUGUCACAUAAUGCUUCUCGUUUGUUUAUGUACUUCUACAGGCAAUGGUUCAUGAGUUGAUAGGUAUUCAAGAUAAUAAGGUCAACCUGAAAAACGUUGGCAAGUUGCCAAAAGAUCAACAGGUCAAAAAGCUCUUUCCUCUUGUAUCUAAAUACUACCUUGUUGUCUUUUCCACAGUGAUUCAUUUGCUGUUGAUUUUUUAUGCUUUCAGGAGGUUGUACUGUCAUCUGAGCAAGAUGCAUUUUUCAAAGCAAAUAUGUAUGAGAACUUCGGAGAUAUUGGAAUGAAUAUUAAGAAAAUGGUGGACGACUUCCAACAAGUGGCAAAAAGUAACCAGAAUAUCCAGACGAUAGGUUUGUAUUGUAGCUUGGGUUGUACAACAAGUGUUUCUGUUGCAACUCACUCAAACAUGGUAUUUUUCUACUAUAAAAGAAGCUUCUGUUUAUAAUACUUGCAUCUUUGCAGAGGACAUGGCUAAAUUUGUAGACAACUACCCAGAAUACCGAAAAAUGCAAGGGAAUGUUUCUAAGCAUGUGACACUGGUUACGGAAAUGAGCAAAAUAGUUGAAGAGCGAAAACUCAUGUUGGUUUCACAGACAGAACAAGAAUUGGCUUGCAAUGGUGGACAAGGGGCAGCAUUCGAGGUAGUUUGUUCCUCCAGGAUUGAAGCAUAAUAUUCUUAUUAUUUAUGGAAUAUGUGGAGAACUUGAGUAGAGAAAUAAGGAAAAUUUUGGUUUAGUCUUUUCUCUGUUUUCUACUUGUGGUGGUUAUUUGGACCAAGUUUGAUAUGCUUAAUUCCUUUUCUUUCUGAUAAACUAGUUCACAUUCUAAGUUUCCUUUGAUCACAUUGAAGAUGUAACUAAACCAAGGUAACUCUGCUCUUAAGCAACACUGAUUUUCUUUAACUUCUACUUUGGAACUGUAUUUGAAAUUAUUGUUUUAACGAACAAUUACUUCUAAUGUAAACUGAAAGUAAAUGAGUUGUUUAUGAGAGGGGAGGAGGGAUGAGGGGAUGAAAGACUUAGGGCCUGUUUGGAUGGGCUUAUAGAAUGUAACAUAUGAAAUUAUUAAUAUGUCAAUGAGUUUACCCCAAGGCCUAGCUCGAGUGGCAAAAGGUGGAGGAUUUGUGGUUAGGUCACAGGUUCAAGCCCCACACCAUGCAAAGCAAAGCCCGGCAUUUAAGUGGAGAAGGGUAGAGAGGGGGGGGGGGCAUUAUCCACUGAGUUUAGAAGGCUGUGAUUGGUCCAUAGGGCGGGUCGCAGACGGAUUUCUUGGUUAUCAAAAUAAAAUAAAAUAUGUCAAUGAGUUCGCAGGCUCUGAGCAAUAUUGUUGAUUCUAUAAAUAAUACAAGUGUUUGCAUCUCCUAAAACAAAAGAAGAGCUGACAAAUUUAGUUCAAUCAAAUACUAAGUUUUUUUUGAUAAAAAAAAUAUUCUGCCUUUCUGUACUAAAAUAAUUCACCUUACAUCAUUGAUAUGUUUGAUGCUAUUGUUUUCUGAUAAUUUCAUUGCAGUGGUAAAUUAACUCUUUUUUUCCGGUGAGUUCUUAGCUUAAAUCAUGACUGGAGAUUUAUUGCAAAGUAGUCUGUUGCCAUUACUAUAUAUAUGUUAUUGAUACCCUGGUUGUAGAAACUCUUUAAACGCAAAUUUCAAAUCUUUGAAACAUGUUACUCGUGUUCAGAAUUCAGAUAUCUGCCAAGUGAACCUAUACAGUGGAAUGGCGACUCUGAAACUGAACCAAUUCUCAAGUCAGAUGCUCACAAUGUUAAACUGAACCAACAUGUAUUGAGCGAAUUUUUUUAAUUAAUAUGCCAUUGUUCCAUUUGAGUUGUCUUUUACUUAAAACUAGUGACUUUAAUUAAUAUGCUAUUGUGCAGAUCUUUUUGGGUAUAAUUUCUUUUCUAUUCUGCUAUGUCUACAGGCUGUGACAAAUCUAUUGAAUAAUGAUAAUAUCUCUGAUGUUGACCGCCUGCGCCUUGUCAUGCUGUACGCCUUGCGCUAUGAGAAGGAGAGUCCUGUUCAACUCAUGCAGCUAUUCAACAAAUUAGCAUCUCGGUCGCCCAAGUAUAAGCCUGGGGUAAGGAGGAGUACUAUGAUUGUUGCCCCUUUUCAGUUUUUUUUUUGUGUUAGUCCUGCUAUCUUGGUUCUGUUUGCUUUUAUUACCUGUAUCUUACAAGUUAUUCUGCCUCUGCCCAAUGUCUCUCCUUGUGAAAGAGUAAAAGAAGAUAAUUAGGACCUCACUCAGUGCCUUCUGUAAAGGCCAUUUUUCUUUUAGCUAACAGUUAAUGUGCUUUAUUCGUUUUGUUGAUUGAUCUGAUCUGUUUGUGGGUGAUAAAAAGUGAUUGCUUCUGAUGGUCUUCAAAGAUAUUUUGAUGGCCUGGCCUUAAAGAUUCUACUUUUCUGUUUAUGCUAUGAAGUUUGUACAAAAAGGGAUAAAAAGAGGAAUAAAUAUUCCAUUCUCUGAAAGCUUGGUUAUUAUGUUUAAUUUAAGUAGGUACAAAGUCAGUGGUCUUAAAAAAAAAAAAAAAAAAAGAGUGGUCUUGUUUAGUCCAUGCUGGUUGUUGGUUAUAGUUUAUAUGUAGGUAUUGGUAUCAAAGUAGGUUUUCUUCUAUUGUUAAUCUGCACUUGAUGUUACAUUGGCAAUUUUAUCUGACAAAUGAAAUCAUUUUUAUUGGUUAUGGUUUGAAGCUAGUGCAAUUCCUUCUAAAGCAAGCAGGAGUUGAUAAGAGAACUGGGGAUCUGUACGGGAACAGAGAUCUUCUGAACAUUGCACGUAACAUGGCUCGUGGGCUCAAGGUGUGUCUAGAACUAGAAUACUUUCUUUCUGUCUCUGUAAUAUUAACAGAAACCAGAAGUUUAAUGUAAUAUAGGAUGGUAGAAACAUCUCCUCAAGCACUUGUACUUGAGAAAAGAAAAUGUCACAUUAUAGACAAUUUAUUGAUCCCUUCGGCCAUGGCUGUAUUUUUUAGUUUAGUGCAUGUACGAUGCUUGCAGAGAACUUAAAAAGGUCAGUGAUAGACCUAUUUUUGUGUAACCAGAAGUAUUUUUUAAGGUUACACCACGUAGGUUUUGGUACAUUACAUCCAUAUGUAUUACAAGCACACGUUAAGCGUUCGAGCAAUAUACACAAUCUUUUAUACAAACAGGAAUUUCCUGGUUAUACAACGAUAUAACAUAGACAUAAGGCUUUUUUUUUAUAAAGGUGACAAAAUGCUGCUAAUUUCCAUAAUAUGCUUCUGUUUGUUUCUAAUUCUUGUUUUGUCCACCAGCUUAUUGACAUGUCUGCCACACUUUUUGGGAUAACCCAUUGUAUUUUCAAAACAGAAAACAACAAUUUAACUCUUAAGGCAAGCGACAAUGUAACAGCAGGUGAUCAGUAACCUCUUCCCAUUGUUUGCUGAUACAGCAACUACUAAUGAUAAUAAAUCUUCUAUUCCUUAAACCAUUUCCCGUCAGAACAGCAUCACACACUGCACACCAUGUAAUAGAAUCCAGCUUUCUCGAAAUGCUAGAACUCCAAAUGGUUUGAGCAGAAGCAUCUCACAGAUGACUCUAUUAAGUUAAAAUAUCCUCCUCCCUGCUGUGCAACUUCUGGAAGAUUAUCGUCGUCCCUGAAAUGAUUCUUACUUUACUUUCCAACACCUUCUAGAUGUAGAUAUUAGUAGUUUACAGUUGUCUUUUGUCACAGGGGGUUGAAAAUGUGUAUACCCAGCAUCAACCGCUUCUAUUCCAAACUAUGGAGAACAUCACCAGGGGUCGAUUGAGAGAUGUGGACUACCCUUAUGUAGGAAAUCACUUUCAGCAAGCAAGGUCAGUCAGUUGAGCUGCAAUGAUAUUUCAAAUUUUACUAUUUCCAUACAGUUUUCAGCCUUUUCUCUAGUUUUAGUGCUCCAAGAGAAUGAGUAAGUAGAACUCUAGCCAGUUGACUUGUUUUUAUUUACAAGACUUUAGCAGUUUGACGCAGAAGUGCAACUACUUUCAUAAAUAAUUCUGGCAUUCAUGAAAUCUUUCUCAUAGUAUGUAUCUCUGAUACUAAAGCCACAAUCUUUGUUGUGAUUGAAAUUUAUAACCUAGCUAUUGGAGCAAUCAACAGCUUCUCAGGUUCUACUAUCUUGAUUUUAUAUGUCUUAAAUAGGGGUCAAUAGAUUUCUUUUGUGGUUAUGCUAAUGCGUUGAAUAAUGUUAACUUUGUAAACCAACAUCUAGUACCAUUCUCUUUCUUAUCACAAGUCAAUCAAUAGAUUUCUUUUGUGGUUAUGCUAAUGCAUUGAAUAAUGUUAAUUUUGUAAACCAACAUCUAGUACCAUUCUCUUUCUUAUCACAAGUCAAUUUCCCUUGUUAACACGGGUUGGGUAGAAGCUGUGAAAAGAAAACAGAGGCAUCAUUUGUUAACAGGGACUUCCUUUAGGAUUUCUAUGAAGCCAAACACAAAACACAUGGCUCUUGAUCUCUCUCUGAUAGAGUUCCAGUGUAUCAUGUUAGGCUUGCCUUCUAUUAUCUGGCAACUAUUUAUGCAUUCUUGGUUGAUUUAAAGUCAAGCAAUCAUCAAGUUAAGCAGAUGUAUGAUUAUCCUAUUAUAUAAGUGUAUUAAGGAAAGGCAGUCCACGAAUGGUGCCAUUUAUUAUGGAAAUUGGACAGAGAUAGAGGAUAUUUUAUAGUUAUUCUUUUUCUUUUUCCUUUUGAUAAGCAAGAUUUUAUCAAUUAAUGUUACGACCCAACCCACUGGGCCAUGUGGGCACCUACUCUAACACUUGGAUAGGAGAAUCCUUCCACCCAGUUUAAAUUAGGCCAUGCAGAAAUAAUCAAAAUUAAACUAAACAACCUAUUUAUAUAUUGAAAUACUCACAAUUUGUCAAAUCAAAAUACCUUUGUAAAGAAAAUACACCGAUCCCUCCCCUCAAGGAACUAGUCUAAACAGGUACAAGAGCUUCUAAAGAGUACAAUUUAUAAAAGAAAUAAGACACAACUCCCACCAUAAGGAAAGAAGAGAAGAAUCUGUCGGAGAUCACUUCGUCUUCGCUUAUGAAACGUCACUGAAUUCUACAACCAGACUAUGCCAAGUGGCAUAGCAGGAGUAGUAUUAGUAGAAACAACAUGUACCUGUAGACAUCAUCGGCCGACCCAAAUUCACCACAUAACAUCAUGUAAUUUAUCAGAAGAGACAUGCAACUGGAAGCCAAAUUAGGACCCCAACCCUUCAAUCACCACUCUGACCACAAGCAGUAUUCCUUGGAACCCAUACGCUCUAUCUCAAGUCACUCCAACUCCAUCUGCUGCCAACUCCACCAUCUAGGUCAUUCCACACUUAUAUAAGAUCAUAACCUAACCCUUCUAUUACAUACAGGUCCCUCAAAAACCAGACUAUUACUACUCUGUAACCAACCUACUAAUCUCCCUGAAGUUCUCAUGCCAACACCUUGGCCUUUGACCCCUUUUAGUAAACCAUAUGCAAGACUCUUACUAAACCACCUUGACUCAAAUCCCCCUUAUCAAAUAUGUUCUAAACACAACCAUAACCAGUCCCAACAUUUAAACUAUGCAACAAACCCCUGAUCAUCAAUCUGACCUAGUAACCACAACUUAGCAAAACAGAUAACAUACAAGUAUAAUCACAAGUAUGACAUAGCCCGAAUUCUUAGUCCUCACCCUAAGUUGAUAUGCACAAUAAACAUGAACAACCUCAACAUAACAAGCCAUACCUGAUUCAUUGCAACUUUCAAUUAACUCGAACCAUCAAAGAUCCCUAAACAUCAUCCACAGUGCUUAACAUGCAAACCUGCACUACCCAAGAACCAUUUCAACAUUUAAACACAAGCCCGACCACUCAUGGACCAACAUGUAACCAUCCAAUUACAAGGAAGUAAACCCGUUCUCUCAUGGAACCCACAUACAAACUGUUAGUGUACCGGUGUGGUACCCGAGCCAACCAUUGUUAGUGUACUGACAUGGUACCCGAGCCAACCAUAUAAUAUCCCGUAUCAGGCGUGGUACUCAAGCCAACCGUUAGUAAUCCUGUACCGGCAUGAUACCUGAGCCAACUAGCAACCACAAACAACAUGCACAGUCAGAAUCACAAUGAACAACCACACGUGAAACCACAUGUAAAUUAAACAAGUUCAUUGCAUGAGAUUAUAAAAUUGAAGUCAUUUCACAUUCACCUUUUAUAUCCUGAACAUGCAUUACACAAGCAUUUCACAUGGAAACGUCAACAUGAACACACACACACACACAUAUAUAUAUCUAUAGCCCAAUACUGAACCCCUUUUUGAGUACACGUUCGUUCUCGGGAAUUACCUCCAUAAUCCCAUGAAUUAAUACUCGUCCCGCUCAUUAUGUUCCCCUUGAUAACCAUAAGUCCCAGAACUGGCUAUAAUUCAACUGUUUAAGUGUGAUCGUCUCAUCUAAAAGCUUAAGCUAUUAGAGAGAACACACUUUUAUUAUUUAAUUAUAUUCUCAACAUACCCCUCACGUACGGGCAUGAUUUUUUUUCAUGAGCCAAGCACGUGAAAAUUCUUUUUGAUUUGCGUGGCAGUGAGAUUUGAUCUCAGAACCUUUGUCUUCUCUGAUACCAUGUGCGAAAUAUUGGAGAAGAAUAUUAUUGAAUUGUGUUGUGUCUACAUUAUUACACAAAGACCCUAUUUAUAGACACUAUAAUACAAUCCUUUACCAAGUAGGAUACUAAUCAUAUUCCUAUUGCUAUUCCUAAAAUUAUUCCUAUCUUGAGUAGGAUUAAAUAUACCUAUUCCUAUUCUAACAACCAUAUGAGAACUAUUGAAGAAGAAUAUUAUUGAAUUGUGUUGUGUCUACAUUAUUACACAAAGACCCUAUUUAUAUACACUAUAAUACAAUUCUUUACCAAGUAAGAUAUUAUUCCUAUUCCUAUUCCUAUUCGAAGUAGGAUUGUAUAUAUCUAUUUCUAUUCUAACACUCCCCUCAAGCUAGUGCAUACAAAUCAUAUGUACCUAGCUUGUUACAAUGUAAUUAAUACGAAGACCGAUGAGGGGCUUGGUGAGAUAUCUGUAAGUUGAUCACUCUACUUCACAAAAUUGACAGUCAAUCUCAAUGUGCUUAGUCUUCUCACGAAGUAUUGGAUUUGAGGCAUAAUGUCAGUCAAUCUCAAUGUACUUGAUCUUCUCAUGAAAUACUAAAUUUGAUGCAUAAUGCCGAUAAAACAGAGAGUGAUAAAAUUACAGUGUUGAAUUUCCCAAACCAAGCUUGAAAAGACUGUUUCAUACCAUAAAAUGACAUAUGUAAUCAACAUACAAGGCUACUAAACUCCCCUUGAGCAACAAAAUUAGGUGGUUGCUCCAUAUAGACUUCUUCACAAUGUGGUGAUAGGCGGAAAUUGCUCAAAAUCUAGUAUAAAGUAUAUGGAUCAUCUUUGGAAUCAAUAGAUAAGUUGAUAUUAAACAAGAAAGUCACUGAAAAACUGGACGGAACAUGCUUAUGCGUUAGACUAUUAGAUUUGAUGGUUGAAAAUGGUCAUAAUCUAAGAAAGGUAGGGUAAGAAUGACGGCAUGACCCUAUUGUAAAAGAGAAAUUAUAUAAGUAGGGUCGGAAUGAUGGCAUGACCCUACACAAAUAAGAAAGUAGUCACCAAAAAGAAAGGGGCUAUGUAAAUUAGAUAUGAAGAAGUAGUCACCAGAAAGCUGGCACGGUGCUACACAAAUUGGAUAUGAGAAAGUAGUCAUAGGAAUGAUGCACGUGCUACAUAAAUUAAAUAUGAAAAAAGUAGUCACCGAAAAGAUGACACAGUGCUACACAAAUUAAAUAUGAAAAAGUAAUCAAAAAGAUGACACGGUGCUACACAAAUUAGAUAUGCAAAAGUAGUCAUCGGAAAGAUGACACCAUGCUACACAAAUUAGAUAUAAGAAAGUAGUUACCGUAAUGAUGACACGGUGCUGCACAAAUCUAAUUAAAUAUGAGAAAGUAGUCAUUGGAAAGAUGUCAUGGUACUACAUAAAUUAAAUAUAAGAAAGUAGUCACCAAAAUAAUGGCACGAUGCUACACAAACACUGAGGGAUAAAAGGUUGACACAAAACAGCCCUAGAAAGUUGCCAGAAAUUGAUGCACGAUGACCUCUUUGACCAAGUUUUCUUCCCUUAAAUAUGGGGUUCAUGCAUAUAUCAUUGGUCCUACUUUUGUUAAUAUAACCGAUGGCCAGACGGGCGACAUAUAUAGGUCAUAGCCGCCUGCCGGCAGUGCCAACUUUUUUUUUUCUACUAAGAUCGUAGAAGCUAUGAUACCAUGUUCAAGUCUGUGACCAUCUCAUCUAAAAGCUUAAGUUAUUAGAGGGACCACCCUUUUAUUAUUCAAUUAUAUUUUGAACACCAUUAAUUUCAUAACACUUAACCUUACAAUUACUAUCAAACCACUCCAACAAGAAAACUCUAGGUUAACAAUCAAGAACUAAAAAAUCCAACCCUUGGUCAUUAUCUUUUGUUGCCUUAACAACAAUAAACAACAACGCACUCUAACAAGAAAACUCUAGGUUAACAAUCAAGAACUAAAAAAUCCAACCCUUAGUCAUUAUCUUUUCCUGCCUUAACAACAAUAAACAACAACCAUUAGCCAACCAGACUUUGUGCCCAAAGGCCUAUGCAUGAAAUCUUUUGUCCAUCUACAAGGAUAUUAUAAAAUAAAAUAUAGGUCUAACUAUUCAGUUAAGAAAACGUAGCCUACCUGGGUGCUAAACAACUAUUGCAAAAGUCUAAUCAUCAAUGUUGACUCAUUUUGUGAAACUUUAGCUUAUUCUUGGUCUAAAAUAACUACACAAGUACAAAAUACAUCACAAUAGGCCUAAAUAUUCUCGGAUUAUAUCCAAAUCCCAAACCCUAAGCCACCCUCAUAUGAUUAUUCCACCCAAACUAGGGUUUUUCCACCAUUAAUUCACCUAAAACUACCAAUUUCAUGGUUACAGUAGUGAAUUACGAUAAAUAAAUCAAGAAUAACCUUUCUUAAGAAUAGCUCAAAGUUUUAUGAUUCUUCCCACAUUAGGAUGAAUUCAAAUUCUUCCUUGAGGCAACAAUUAUCUUCUCUAAGGCCUAGGAAUCAAACUACAAAAGUAGGAGAUCAGAUCACCUUUACGAAGAGAUUCCUGUUGAAGAAUUGCUGAAAUUUACUCUAGGUCACCCUUUCUCUUCUCCAGUCUUGGGAUUUUUCCCACCUUAGAUGAAUCCAAACCCUCCCCUAGGGCCACAAUCACCUUCUCUAAGGCCUAGGAAUCAAACUACAAAAGUAGGAGAUCAGAUUACUCACAUUUUCGAAGAUUCCUAAUAAAGAACCGUUGAAAUUUGUCCUAGGUCGACCAUGAAUACAAACCUUCUCCUAGGCCACAACUACCUUCUCUAAGGCCUAGGAAUCGAACUACAAAAGUAGGAGAUAGGAUUGCUCACUUUUACGAAGAUUCGUGAUAAAGAACUUUCUCUAAGGCCUAGGAAUCGAACGGAUUGCUCACCUUGAUAAAAAACUUAGCGGAUUGCUCACCUUUAUAGGUGCUGGGGAAUCAAGAAUAGGUUUGACUUUGACACCAUAUUAAGAAAAUUGACCAUGGGCCUAACUCAACCCGAAAGAGUUGACUCGUGAGGUAAGGAUUGCCCAAAACCAUAUAAGAAGACCACAACACAUUCCUUCAAUCAAUGUGGGACACUCUAAGAAGAUCCGUGUAGCAACCUCGGAUCCUAUUUUGAUCUCCUCUAAGUCUUGCACAAUGUUUCCUUUUGGCAACCAUCCUUUCUAUGUGAUUACAUUUUCAAUGCACACUGGCAAUGUGGAAAACCUUAUUGUCAUGACUCAAAUAUGGCACUUAGGCCGCGACAGGGCAUUUGGAGAGCUUACUACCCAUUAGGUGAACUCUAAGCUAAACAUGUAGAAAAAUAAAGGAAAAAAAAAGAAUAUACUAAUAGUCUCAACAUAUGAAGAUAAGUGCGAAAACGGAAUCCAACUACUGAGUAUGGCCAAAAAUCCCAUAAAUGGCUGAGUCAUGAAGAUACUACUUUGAAUACAAAAUAUGAGAAGUACCAAGUCUGCUUAAGAAGAAGAGGGCACCAUGAUCUAAUGGUGCACACCUCGACUGAACUUGACUGCAGAAAGCUGGAAUAAUUUAGGUACCUGCUAUGUGGUUGCCAUCUGUAGCUCAUGCACACGCCCAAACAUCAAAAGCAUGAGUCUAAAGACCCUACAAGAUUAUCGGCACACCCUCUUAGCUUACCUGUGGGGCAAGUCUUAGAUAUCUCUUCUAAUACAGAAAAGCACAUAAAGCAGUACAAGUAUAAGAAUAAUAAUACGGAUACUGAGCUAAGUCUGAAAUCAUGUUUACAUACACGUAAUGCACCCCUUCAAGCAGUGGUGUACACAGAAUCUUUUGUAAGUGGUGUCAACAUUUGAAGUAGUGAAACAAAUUACUAUAUCGACAUGAGAGAUGCUAAAAUAACUUCCUGGUAGUUGAAUUAUAUUUUUAUCACUCUGAUUUUAAAGAAAAAGCGUUUUGGCACCUUGGUUAAAUCCAAUAAAAUUUGCAAAAAAAAAAUGCGCAUGGAGCUAAUUUCAAACACCCAGCGUGCUUCUGCAAUUUCAAGCGUAAGACCAUCAGACCACGCGGCAUUGUCUGUCAAGCGGUGUCAUUCAAUAUUUAUAUAUCCGUAUUUUCACAUUGUUUAUAGGUAUAUUCAGUUUAAAAUAUUCGAUGAAGCGGUUUAGAAUGACACUGCUUCGACUAACGUGCGUCUGCUCCUGCCUUCAAGAUCUGUUUGAUACAGAUGAAUGUUGUGUUCCUCCUCCAUCCAAGGCAAAAGAAAAGCUUCUUUCCAGCGGCAGGUUAUUCAACUUCGGAAUGGUCGGAACCUUUAAAAUAUAUACCAACUCCAGCUCCUGCUUCAUCAGACCUUUAAAACUUUUUUCUCUUCUCUUUGUAUUUAUCCAAACUUUGUAUUUGAAAUGAGUUCAACUAAACUUCUUCACGUUUUUAGGGUUCAAGAUGAGAUGGAACAUGGACAAAAAUAUUAUGGUGCUUAAACUAUUCAUGUGGCUAAAACAAAAUUGUUCAUCACAUACAGGCCACAGGAAGUGGUGAUUUUCGUUGUCGGUGGGACAACAUAUGAAGAGUCACGUUCGGUUGCUCUGCAGAAUUCUACGAACUCUGGGAUUCGUUUUAUACUUGGUGGUUCUUCCCUUCUAAAUUCUAAAAGGUAUGCUCUCCCUUGUACGCCAACCAUCAUUUUAAUCUGGUAGUUCUGACUAACGUACAAUAAAGACAGUGCAUUUCAUGUACUGCUUCCUUGAUUUAGCUCGAAAAAAAUCUAUAUUCGACAUUAUUGGCUUAACUUUCACAUAUUGGGGUCCUGAAGCUUAUUUCCAUCAACUUCAGAACAUGUUUUUUGAUUGUUAUCGUAUCCCAGUUAACAUUGAACUCUUCAGAAGGUUUAUUUAGUUCUUAGCAUUCAGUUAACUGAAAUCUUUUUGUGUAAUGUAUCUGGUGGACCUGUAGAUUCUUGAAGGACCUUGAAGAAGCUCAGAGAAUCGCUCGUAUAAGCACCAAUAUGCUUUGAAUUUUGGACUCUACAGUACCUUGUGAAAAUCUGAAAAUAUAGAAUCACAGGUAAAAUCUACAUUCAGCUUGCUAUCACUGUAAUCAUUGUACAACCCUUUCAGCAGCAGUGAUAUGAUGACAAUAUCUUUCAUUUUUAGUCUAAAGGGGGAUACUUGGAUUCUGCAGAAGUACAUAAAGAGCUGAGUUUGCUGAUGAAAUUCCCAUAAAUACAUUGUGUAUCCACUGUAUCAUCUUCUUUCAUAGCUUCCGCGUCCUGCCCAAGUGAGACGGUUUUGAGACCUCCUCAUCUGUGUGCCACUUUUCAUGUCUAGAUUUGUUAUGUACAUGUAGUGUUCUCAUAUUCCUGAUAGACUUCUCUGGACUUUUAGUCUUGUAGCAUAUCUGGGAUCAUGCCCUGACUGUUAUUUGAAAUCACAGAAAGCUUACAUAUGGUACAGUACAUCUUACAGUAGUUUCUGUGAAGAUAGUUAUUAACUUUAUGUUUUGUUUAUUUUCCCCCUUUGAUAUAUUCUAAGUAGGCGAUUAACAUGCUAUUUCAUCUUGUGAUUUGAAAUCAAGAGAUGAAAUCUAUGUUUGGACGUGUGUAAUUUCAUCUUAUGAAUAAUUUCAAAUUCUCUAAAAAGCUUGAUUUGGGAAUUUUAUAUCACGAUUUCACAUUUUUCAAAUACAAAAAAUUGAUUCACAAGUUCAUAUUUUGUAAAAAAAAAACCCAUCAUUUAUAUCUACAUAAUUUUUUGCGAGAAUAUUAAAGGAGUGAGGAAAUAUUCAUGGAGUAAAAACAUAAUCAUGUAGUUACUAAUGAUGUUGGCGAAACAAAUUACUCAAUAAAUAUGGUACACUAUAACUUAGGUUCAUGUUUACUUUUUUAUUGGACCACAGUUUAAUCAAUGAAUGUUGUAUUUUUCUUCUUAGAAUAGCUUUUUUGAUAGUAUAUUAUACUUCUGUUAUGAAUUUUUAUUUAUUUGGUAAUAUAAAGAAGAGUAAAUUUUAGGUUUAGCAAAACAUAAAAAAUUAUAUUUGUAUGUUUUAGCUAUAGUUUGUAUAAUUGCGCUUCAUAACAAACUUUAUGUUUGCUAUGGAGCAUUAGAUUUGUAUAAAUCAUUAGCAGCCUCUCAUUUGUAUAAAUUGUUGGCAGCCUCUCGUUUGUAUAAAUCGCUGGCAGCCUCUCAAUUCAAUUGUAUAUAUGUAAUUACUAUGUAUAUGUAUCAAUGAUUGUGUAUGUAUAUCUGCAUAAAAUUUGAAUUUGUAUACAAUUGAAUUGAAAUAAAACAUUUGUAUAUCAAAUCUCUCUCUCGCGUGCGCUUUUUACAACACAAAUUAUACAUUGUAAUUUGUAUAAUUUGUGUUUGUAUAAAGCGAGAAAGAGAGAAAAUGUAAAAGAGAACUGGUAGGGGAAGAUCUGUAUAAUUAUAAGUGUAUAUGAUGAAAAUAUAUGUAUUUAAAAAAAAACUGACUUGGGGAGAGAUUUUAGGAGAAAUUGAAAGAAACUGGAGAGAAAAGAUAGCGAAGGGAUUAGUAUAAAAAUAAAUCUUCUGUUUUUUGAAAUGUGUGGGUCCCAAUUGAUUAAAAUAAAACUUAUUUGGGGAGAGAUUUUAGGAAAUUGAAAGAAAAUGGGAGAGAAAAAUAGUGAAGGAAUUAGUAUAAAAUAGAUCUUCUGUUUUUUUUUAAUUCGUGGGUCCCAACUGAAUGGCAAAAAUGAUGUAACAUUAGCUGCACAUUUGCUGUGAAAUGCAAAUAUAUGAAACAGUAGCUAUAGGAUUUAUUUUGAUUUAAAUGUUUGCUAUUAUGUAUCAUUUUCCCUAUAAAGAAUUGGGGUAAUUUUGAUAGUUUUCCUGAUCAAAUAAUUUUUUAGUUAAUCUGAGGUUUACUUUUUACCUUCCAACAUAUUUUGAUAACACUUUUUUUCUCUCCUGAACGUAUCUACUACUUAUAUAUAAGUGUGGAUAACCACACAGGUGGAGGUCAACAUGCCUGCUUCACCUGUGUGGUUCCACACUUGCAUAUAUAUUUGCUUACUUUUUUCUCCAUUUUAAUUUGUUUGUCUUAUUUUUAAAAUUUUUAAUAUAUUUAAAUAUCACAUAAAAAAUACUAUAAAUUAUGAUAAUUGACAACUAAAAUUAAUAUAUCCGUGUCACAUAAUCUACUACUUAUACAUAAGUGUGGAUAACCACACAGAUGGAGGUCAACAUGCCUGCUUCACCUGUGUGGUUCCACACUUGCAUAUAUAUUUGCUUACUUUUUUCUCCAUUUUAAUUUGUUUGUCUUAUUUUAAAAUUUUUAAUAUAUUUAAAUAUCACAUAAAAAAUACUAUAAAUUAUGAUAAUUGACAACUAAAAUUAAUAUAUCUGUGUCACAUAAUCUAUUACUUAUAUAUAAGUGUGGAUAACCACACAGAUGGAGGUCAACAUGCCUGCUUCACCUGUGUGGUUCCACACUUACAUAUAUAUUUGCCAAUUUUUUUCUCCGUUUUAAUUUGUUUGUUUUAUUUUUGAAAAUUUUAAUAUAUUUAAAAAUCGCAUAAAAAUACUAUAAAUUAUGAUAAUUGACAACUAAAAUCAAUAUAUCUGUGUCACAUAAAAUGGGGCAAAAGAAGUAACAUGUAUUAUUUAGUUUGAAAACUACGUAAAAAGAAUUGUAAAUCUCAAUAAUUAACGACAUAUUCACUCUUGAAAUUCUAUUUGUGCUACAUAUAUUAGGACAAGAAAAGUAACAAAUCUUAUUUAAAAAUUACGUAAAAAUUACAAUAAUUAACAACUUAAAAUAUUUAUAAAUCAUAUCAAAAUUUAAUUGACUCUCUAAAUUUUAUCUAUGUCACAUAAAGCGAGACAAAAAAAUCUACUGUUUAUAUAUAAGUGUGGAUAACCACACAUGUGGCAGUCUGCCUGCUUCACCUGUGUGGUUCCACACUUACAUAUAUAUAUUUGCCUACUUUUUUCUCCAUUUUAAUUUGUUUGUCUUAUUUUUUAAUUUUUUUAUAUAUAUAAAAAUUGCAUAAAAAAUACUAUAAAUCAUGAUAAUUGACAACUAAAAUUAAUAUAUUCGUGUCACAUAAAAUGGAACAAAAGAAGUAACAUGUAUUAUUUAAUUUGAAAACUACGUAAAAUAUAUUAUAAAUCUCAACAAUUAACAACAUAUUGACUCUUGAAAUUCUAUUUGUGCUACAUAUAUUGGGACAAUGAAAGUAAUAUAUAUUAUUUAAAAAUUACAAUAAUUAACAACUUAAAAUAUUUAAAAAUCAUAUCAAAAUUUAAUUGACUCUUUAAAUUUUAUUUAUGUCACAUAAAAUGAGAUAAAAAAAUAACAUAUUGAACCCGUAUUAGCACGUACACUUAUAUCUAGUAUAUGUAUAAAUGUCCUAUUGAGUAUGUGUAGGUUUGUUUCACUUGUACUAAUUCUUAAAAUUUGAUGAUGAUAUUUAUAAUAGUAGUAUAUAUAAAAUUCAAUGGGACAUAAUUGAUAGUUUUAUGGCUGAAAUAUGUAUCAUAACUCUAGCGUGAUAUAACCCCUAGAUAACAUUAUGAAAAUAGUUCAUGUAUAUUCCUCUAAAAUAAACUAUUUUCAUAAUGUUGACGAGGGAUUAUAUCACGCCUUUUCCUCUAAAACAAUAUCGAUUAAGGGUGUAUUUCGAUUGAUUCGGUUCAAUUUCAUCUAUUAUCGAUUUAAUUUAUCAAUUUUUAAAUAUGCUAAAUUAAUAAUCAACUAAUAAAAUAUUUUUUCCAAUUUUCAAUUUAUCAAUUAUUGGACAUUAUUUGAUUUUCGAUUUUAAUCAAAAAAAAAAUCUCAUAAAAUAAAUAUAUAACUUCUCCAACAAUUAGGCGCAACAUGACAAUAAUGUAACCUUAUAUAAUGCUCAUAAAAUAGACGUAGUAGUGACUAACCGGAAAAGAACUAUACAAGUACAACACAAUAAAAGAACUUUAACAAUAAUGUGAAUUAAAGGCUAAAUGACAAAGAUAAUACUCUUUAUGUCUCUAAUUAUUUGUUCACUUUUUCUUUUUUACUUGUCUAUUUUGACAAAUCGAGAAAGGAUAAUUUUUUUAUCUAUUAUACCCUCAAUUAAUUACUUUGAAAAAUGUAGAACUUUUUGAAAAUUUUAAAAUUUUAAUUCAUUCACUUCAUAGUUAAUAGAAGUAAAAUAGUUUUCUUAAUAGUGUGUCACUUCAAAAGUGAACAAGUAAUUAGAGAUAAAGAGAGUAUCUAGUAAGAUACCAAUAUUAAAAUUUUGAUAUUUAUAUAAAUGUAUUACUCCAAUCUUAAUGAGUUAUCAAUUUAACUACUAAGACCACCAAUAUAAAAAUUUAAUAAUAUUUAUAUAAAUGUACUAUAAUCUUAAUGGGUUAUCAAUUUAAUCAGUAAUCUAAUAUACAUGUUAACCCAAAUACCAAUAACUUAACAAUAAUAAAUCAAUUUAAAAAAUCUCGAUUUGAUUUAUUAGUCAAUUCGAUUUUUUUCACACCCCUAAUUCCGACGGAGCCCUUGCUAUAUUACGACUUUCCCCUCAAAUAAAUUCCGACGGAACUUGGCAAAAUCUCUAAUAUAAAAGAAACAAACAAACUGUUUUGAGUAUAGCAAUACUCCGACGAAUUUAGCAAUGCAAUCUUCUUCGCCGGAACUUCCGAUUAGCAGACGUUUCUUCAAGGUCAUGGUGCCUGGUUUUCACUCUAAACUUGUAAGAUACUACUGCCAUUUCUUUCUAUUUUUUUCCUAUUUUUUUUUUUUUGGGGUAGUAUCAAUUUUCUAUAUGAACGGAAGAGGAACUUCCAGAAUUAAUGGUGUUUUUGGUGGUAUAAAUUUUAUGUUAUUUUUCCAAUUUUUGUUUAAUUCACCUGGUAUUGCAGACAAUUCCACCAGCUUUUUUUCCGAAGCUAAAAGGGGAUAAAUCAGAAAAGGGGACAAUAAUAAAGGGCAAGGAUACAUGGAAUGUUGAAAUUAAUCGAUCCGAGAAGGGCAUUAUCUCGUUUGAUAAGGGUUGGGAGGAAUUUGUGCAAAAUCAUGACCUAAGAGUUGGAGAUUUUGCUGUGUUUGAGCACUUGGGUAACAUGAGUUUCAGUGUUACCCUUCUUGAUUCAACUGGCUGUGAUAAGAAGUUGUUGGAAAAGAGCGAAGUAGUACCUUCCCAGGAGAAAAAGAAAAAGGUGAAAUCUGGUCAGUCCGGAAUAGGUAAUUUCCCUAAAAUUGUUAUUUUUCCUCUAUUGGGUGUAUAAAGCUUACUAGUCAUAUUGAUUCAUUUAUAGUAAGAAAUUAUAUUCCUGCCUAAGAUCAAGUUGACACCAACCAAACACCUUACCUUUAAAAGAAACACUCUAGAUUCUUUUGUUUCACUUCCCUACAGUUGAAUCUAAUAUUCCUAAGCUGAAUUUAGAUAUAGACAAAGAUUAAAUUGUCGAUUUUAAUUUUAAAAUGUGUAUUAUGAACAGAUACGUUGUCUGAUUUAGGGACAUAUCUGUUAAGGAAAACAUGCUUGUAGUUGUACUAUUGCUUAUACUUUAACUUGGUAUAAUUGUUUUAGUACUAUUAUGGAAAUCAAUCUUGUCAAAAAAAGAAAGGUACUGUUAUGGCAAUCAAUAAAUUGAUAUGGAAUAAGAAAAGCUUCAUCUUUUGUAACAUUGUUAAAGCCAUGUCUAUGAUGAGUAUUUCAGUGAAGUGGAAAGGAGGGUAAUCUAGAGGAGUGGUCCAAUGUACAUUUCAUUUGGGUUUGAUGCUCUAUUUCUUACUUCUGUAGAGAAAAGGAAACUUGAGGGAGAUCAACCUCACUACCAGUGCAUGAAAGGAAGUUCUGAGUUUACGGCAAGAAUAAAAGAAUAUAACGUGAGAAAACGUUCUCCUUAUAUGGUGAGCUUUUAACUCUUAUUUUCUUUUAUCCAAACCUUUGACAACACAAACAAUGAAUUUUUUAUUGUAGUGCCUAAACAUAUCCAAUAUGAUCUUUUCCUAAAUUUCUUUAAUGUGCUCUUAUGACAGCAUAUACCCACAGAAUUUUGUCAGUCGAAUGCACUCUUUCAGAAUACAACCAUGACGUUAACAGGCCCGUCAGGUAAAUCAUGUCCUGUGAGUCUGAGAAUUUGCAAUGGUGGGAAGACUCUAUAUGCUUGUAUUACAAGAGGCUGGCAUGAUUUCUUUUCAAGCAACAAGCUGAAAGUAGGAGAUGUUUGCAUCUUCCAACUUGAUCGCUCAAAAAGCGACUCAAAUUCCAUUGCCAUCGAUGUUCGUGUUUUGUAGGCUGCAAACUGUUCUUUUAUCUUUAUUCUUUUGAUUUUUUACUAGUUAGUGUUACCUUGUAAACUUAUUUCACUAGGUAUAGGUUCUUUUUAUAUACUUGAUUGGCUGAUCAACAAGAAGUUGUACUCUAGCUGCUGCAGAGUAAUUAGGCAGUGUGUUAUUUGUUGAGCAGCAAAAAUGCUGAUGAAUAAGUUGCAUCAAGAAAAUAAUCUUAGAGGCAAUCCAAGCCAGAAGGAGAGAUCGAAGCUCAUUCCAACCUCUAUUUAGUGGACAAUAUGGGAAUAAAGGAACAAAAGAUGCUUUGACGAUAAAUCAAGUCAUAUCCAGAAGAUGAAGUUGAAGUGUUUGGUACUUUUGUAUUUUUGGUGUAAAGGAACAUGUGUAGAAGAUCUUGAUUCAAUUUUUGAUGUUUUAAACUCCUUCUAGAUGAUAGUGGAGCUGUAGGUUUGGUCUCUUUACAGUCCUGUAAUUAUGGAUGAUUAUACAGGCUUUGUAUAAUCUUACUAUUUGUACAAGAUAUGUUAGCUGUUUUAAAAUAAAUAAAUUAUGAGUACCAUAUUCUAACAACAUGUUCGUUUGCUAGCAGUUAUUUAGUAAAUGAUGAUGGUAGUUCAAAGCUAUCCAUAGUGUCUAGCUAUCAUCAAUUUUCCUGCCCAACAUUAUCUUUUUGUCAAUAGCUUUUUUCAAAUUUGGAAAGAUGACAUUCAGUUGAUCUUCAUGCCUGAAGCAGUUCUUGUUGGAGUUCAAACUCUUACAGUGGUUGUUGACUCGUUAUGCCUGUAAGUUCCAGACAGAUUUAACACAUUGCACCCUAUCCUAACUGUUUGCUGUUUUAUGAAGUCCGAUUUAGAGCUUGCUCUGAUUCAAUAUGCUAAUCUCUGAAGCGCAUGUUGAGGUCAGUAUUGUUUUACUUUUUCAUGGAAACUUUCAUUUAGUCUUCUUAAUUUUGUUAAAAAUAUCCUGCAUAUUUUCCUAAUUAAAUCUUGUACUUCUCUUAUUGGGUACCUGCAACUUACUGUAAAAUAUUUUGUCAAGGCAGCCCGCAAGGCUUUGGUUUAGUAGAGCUGCUAGGGGAGUGGCUCUGGGUAUAGAUAGGGUUAAAUUUGCAGGGUCAUGCAAAUACAUAGGCCCCUUCUCUUUGGGAUAAAUGGGGUAGUUUAGAAGGCGCUUUCUGAUCUACCUUUUUCUUAUGUCGCUGUCAUGUCUUGCCCCCCAAUAUAGUGACUGCUUCCAUGUUUUCCCUGAAUUUCAUCAGUUCCAGGUUCAAGGGCCUGUUCAUCCAUCUUCAUUCCAAACAAAGGUGAGCAUCUCCAGUGAAUGUAACUGCUAUGCUGCGAGCUGGUUAGAUGCGUGGAACAGAGGGCUUGUAGUACCUGCUAACGCGGCUAUGCAGUGGAAGGGAACGAGCCUAAAUUGACCCCCUUCUUUUUUUCAAGUGUAGUGCGUGAUAUGUUGAUUAGGUGCAUAUCAUGAGUAUGGACAUUGUUGUGGACGAAAUCCUUGUAUUUAAGUGGAGAAAGGUAGAAUGGCAGGCCCAUUAUCCACCACGUUUUGAACUAUGUGGUAGCUAGCCUUCGGGGAUUUCUCAGUUAUAAAAAGAAAUUGUCAAGACAUUUGGAAAUCGAGACAUCUUUUUUCACAUAAAAACUUGCAACAUUUUUGCCCAAGGUUUUUAUUUCUUAUAUAUUCUUGAUGAUUCUGAGAGUCGAAUGUUGAUAUAUAUCAACUUGCAAGUCAGCACGCCAUGACAGUUUUUUGACUUAUGUUCUUUUUGUGAUUUGUCUUUUCAGCAGGAUUGUUGAUCCUCUUGUAUUUCUAUACCUCCUUUUCUUGUUUAACUUGUCUUUAUGUCAACCCCACCAAAUAACAAAUUCAAACACAACAUUGGUGUUUAGGGGUAAAUAAUCAGAAACAUCUUCUAAUCCUUUAAGGAAUGUGCAAAUCUUUGCUUCUAUCACCUUACCGUUUGAGAUAAAUGUUUGUAUUCACCCCGAAAAAAGAGAGUAAAUGUUUGUAUUCGAUGGGUGUUUUCUUGUUGUAUUCUUUGAGUUGUUGAAUCAGUAGGCUCUUUAAUAAGAGAGUGAUGCUUCAAUUGGUUGAGACAAGGUUGACCUUGGUUGGUGGCAGUUAAACGUUUUACGUGUUUGAAUAUCGAUCAAAUAUGAAACCAAUUUCUUUCCCCUAUAAAUGGAAGAACUAUACUAUGUAAUGCUGGGAAAGCACUUGAAAGGUUUAGUGAUAUAUUUGCUUUAGCAAGGUUUUCCACACUCCCGUGUAUAGUUAAUCUGGCUGUUGUAGAUGCAGCUUAUUCCUAGUGUAUCACUUACUCUUUCCAUCAUUUUCUAGGGAUUAUCCAUGGCAUAAUUUCUUUAGUAUCUUUCUUAUUGUGUUUCUUAGCUAUGGGUGUCGUAGUAUAUUAUCUGCUCUCCACCUAUUCUCUUGUCUUUUUACUACCAGUUGCAUUCUUUUGUGUAGGUUAUGAGGAAAACAACGAUAGGGAGGAAAGAAUAUCAGUUAGAAAGCAUGUUUCUUACCUGUAUUUACAUGUAUGGCGGCAGUAGGCAUUGUUCAUACACAUGUAUAUGUGCAACUGGCGAUAAUAGGUAAGUAUGCUUUUCCUUGCAUCUUCCAUUUGAAGCAACGAUGCACUAAGAAUUUAAAAAUUGUGAAGUGUUGAGCGGAUUUUAGAUUUUGACUAAUUUAUGGGCAUUAAAUCAUCUAGCUGACAAUGGCAUGUUAACUGCUAUGUAACCUAAGGAUAGCAGAAUGAGAGUCUUGGGUCUCUAUGUAAUCUAUAUAUGUGUAUGAUCUAUUGAACCUAGAGACAUGCCCGCUGCAGUGUUGUCUUGGAGAGCUGGAAGUACGUUCUCUAAGUGUCAGGACAUAAGCUGAGUGGGUUCUUUCAGAAAUACCUCCUUCCAGGUGACUAAUGAGACUGACGCUCUAGUUCAAAUUUCAGCUGAUUUUAGUUCCCUAGUUGAAAUACCUUCUGAUAACCAUGUUACAUUGACUUCAUAACGAGCGCGUAAUUAAUUGUGUACUAUGGGCUGCUACCCUCAGAAACCUGGUAGUCCGUUGCUUAUGGUGCUGGGCUAUGGGUUAAACUUACCUACUGGUGGGGUGUAUUAGGUGCCAGCAUGACCUGAGAAAUCGGAUCAUGACAGUUUAUAUAUCUUUAUGUGGAUAUUCUUUACCAUCACUCUACUAACCAUCAUCAGUUGUAACCACCUAUUGUCAUAACCAUCACUACCACAAUUGUCAACCACCAUUAUUGUUGUCAAUCGUUAACCACCACUUGAAACCACUAUCACGGUCAGUCACUACUAUCAAUCGCUACCAUACUUACUAUCUCCAUAGUUACAAUUAGCAACAUCACCAUUUGUCACUAACAUAUCGUUAAUCUAUCACCACACAACCAUCACCAUUAACACAACCAAUUAUUAACAUAUAACCAAUUUUAUCAUCCCAACCACUUAACUAUUACCGAUUGUGAUUUGUGACUUUCACAUCAAUCACUACAAUAAAAAUUAUCUCUACUGUCAUAACUAUCGUCAUCAUCAUUAUUAGCCAUUAACACUAAUAUAACUUUAAACAUUUAAAUAUUCAUUCAGAUUCAAAAUCUUCACAACUAUCGUCAUCAUCAUUAUUAGCCAUUAACACUAAUAUAACUUUAAAUAUUUAAAUAUUUAUUCAGAUUCAGAAUCUUAAUCUUAACAAAGAUAAAAUGAGGCCUAAAUGUCCAUGCAUAGGGUAAAGAUAGCAUAUGCAUUGUGAAGCAAACCAUUAAUGGAAAUAUGCUUAUGAAUGAGCAAGUGAAAAUGUUCAAACGUGUUUGACGGAUUUUUACUGUUAGUACGAAAAACACAUUUUAAUCGUUUUAAUUCAUGUACUAGAUAUAUUUAAAAUAAAAGAUAAUGUUAAUAAUUUUUAUGAACCGAUAGAUUAACGGAGAAUAUAUAUAAGACAAAUUUGGUCAUCCAGGUGAUUAAGUGCAUGUAUUUUAGUUUAUCACAAGUUUAGUCAUGUUCAUUGUUGUCUUUUAGUUGUUCUAGAUGGUUGAUUAAUUAAGUAUAGUUCAUACAUCUAAGUCUAAUAAUCACUUGUGAACCUAUAAAUACCGCUCUUAUAUAUAAUGAUUUAUUAAGUAAAAUUAGAAUAGUUCAUUAUGUUAUAAUGUGUGAACGUGAUGUAAUCUAUCUUUUUCAUCCUUUUUGUGCAUUAUGAUGUGAUAAAACCUAUGUAUAUUUGAAAUCGAUAUAUAUUAUUUUUUGGUAUAUAUCUUCUUUGAUGUUUAUUUGAAUUCGAAGUAUUCUGUUUGAUUUCUUAUAUUAAUAGUGCAUUCAACUUACUAUUUUAUAAUUUUAAGUUGUUUUUUCCGCCACAAUUUAAGUACAACAAAUUCUUCACAUUAGCAUUCUUGAAUUUGUUUGAGGCUAGUGGAUCAUCUAGUUUUGAAUGUUAAAUUGAUUUGGAAUCAUCUAUAAAUUAAAGUGCAAUACAAAUCAUAGCUCAAAGUUGAAUUAGAUGGAAACAUCUAUAUAAUUGCAUUGGAAGAAAGCUUUUUCUAUGGUUUUUAAUUAGUGGCAAUUUUUUAAUUAAAAAGAUAAACGCGUACACUUUUGAAAAAAAAAAAAAUUGUAUCAGUGGUAGUAAAGUUGUGUGACAAAUUAAAGGUGGAAACUGACUUGAGUCAAAAACAAUAAUGCAUUAUUUAUCUCACUGUAUGUAUAUAAAGAUUGACUACAAGCUCCUAGCUAAAUAAUAUAUGAAGUACCAACAAUUGCUUAUUGCUUUCUGCUUCUAUUCAUUUGUUAUAUUUUUUGUCCAGCAAUCUCAGCUCACAUAUGCUGGGCAACAUCUCUGUGCCCGCGAUGACGCUUUUUAUUUGCUUCAAUUUAAGAAAGGCCUCACAGUUGUUGAUCAAAAUAUACAUGACUGUGACAAUGAGACCCGAGCCAAGACUUUGUCCUGGAAUAUUACAAGAGAUUGUUGUCAAUGGGAUGGUGUAACUUGCAAUGGAUUUACGGGUCAUGUCAUAGGCCUCGAUCUUUCUUGCAGCAUUCUUAACCAGACCAUCAAUGCUAACAGCAGCCUCACUAAACUUGGUCAUCUCCAAAGACUCAACCUUGCCUUCAGCCAGUUUGAUGACGACAUUCCAGUUGGAAUAAGUGAACUCAGUAGUUUGACACAUCUCAAUCUUUCGAAUACUGGAUUUAAUGAAGGGGAGAUACAGAUUCCACCAGGAUUAUCCAAGUUGUCUAAGUUGGUUUCACUUGACCUCUCCUCGAAUGACUUCCAAGUUGGCCGAACAACCUUCAGAAGUUUGCUUCAGAACUUAACCAAUUUGGAGGUACUGUUGCUUGACAGCGUGGACGCACCAUUUGAGUUACCUAAGAAUUUUCCUUCUUCCCUUAGGUACUUAAUUCUUCAAGACACCAACAUGUGUGGGAACAUAAGUGAUUCUCAGCUUUUUCAUCUACCAAACUUGCAAGUGCUGAGAAUGGGAUGGAAUCCUUUAUUAACAGGCACUUUGCCUAAUUUCAAUUGGAGUUUCAGUACAAGGAUUUUAGAGUUGGACUUUUUCUAUACUGAUAUUUUUGGUAAGGUACCUGAUUCAAUCGGCAACCUCCGUUCUCUUUGGUAUUUAGAUCUCUCUUUAAACCGUUUAUCCGGCUUGAUUCCAGUAUCCAUUGGCAACCUCAGUGGAAUUAGAGUGUUGAGACUUUCAAGUAACAGCUUCACUGGUAAUGUUCCCUCAACUAUCUAAAAAUUAAACAAACUCGUUGAUUCCAGUAUCCAUUGGCAACUCCUCAUUUUGUCUCGGAACAAUUUCAGUGGUUCAAUCCCAGGAUGUUUGGGUAACUCCAUUCUUGUUUUAGACUUGCGAAUGAACAAUUUUUAUGGAGAAAUACCAAAAUUCUUACCUAUAGGGUUACAAUAUCUUGGUGUGUAUGACAAUCAGUUGGGGGAACAAGUCCCACGAUCCUUGGUUAACUGUACAAGCUUGGAAGCUCUUGAUUUGGGGAACAACAAUAUAAAUGACACGUUCCCGUAUGGCUGGACAAACUUCCAAACCUACAAGUUCUGAUUCUGAAAUCAAAUCUCUUUCACGGUUCAGUUGGUGAUUUGGAUUCCGAGUUUCCAUUUCCUGAGUUACGGAUCUUUGACCUUUCCGUUAAUGGGUUCACUGGAACUUUUCCAACUAGAACAAUUUCAGUGGUUCAAUCCCAGGAUGUUUGGGCAACUCCAGGUUUCCAUUUCCUGAGUUACGGAUCUUUGACCUUUCCGUUAAUGGGUUCACUGGAACUUUUCCAACUAAUAUUUUCAAAAGUUUCAGAGGUAUGAUGGAUGUGGAUGAAGGAAAAACAGGAAUUACUCUAGCUAUUAAUAGGACUCACAGAGAUUACCUUUACCAUGUUAGUUUGGUGAUAAAAGUCAAUGAGUUUGAUAUGAGAAUCACGUCAAUUAUGACGAGUGUUGAUUUAUCAAGCAACAGGUUCGAAGGAGAUAUUCCAAAUUCCAUUGGAAGUCUGAGCUCACUUGUGUUACUCAACCUGUCUCGCAACAACUUCCGUGGUCAUAUUCCUGCAGAAAUUGCAAAGUUGCUGCAGCUCGAAGCAUUAGAUCUCUCGUGGAACAGACUCAUUGGAGAAGUUCCUGGUCAAUUGUCGAGUUUGACAUUUCUUGAGGUCUUAAACCUUUCAUACAAUCAUCUGGCUGGGCGCAUUCCUAUUGGGAAACAGUUCAAUACAUUUCCAGAUGAUUCAUAUUGUGGAAAUCUUGAUUUAUGUGGAUUUCCACUAUCAAAGAAAUGUGGAAACAAUAAUAGGCCAGAUGAGUCAACACUUGAACAAGAUGAUGAAGAUUCAUUUUUUGCGAGCGGGUUCACAUGGGAAGCUGUGGUAAUAGGUUAUGGUAUGAUAUUUGGAUUGUUGAUGGGAGGCCUCAUGUUCCUACUGGAAAAACCAAAAUGGUUUGUCAACUUUGCUGAAGAUAUUUCUCAACAAAUUGCUGCUAAGAAGCGAAGAAAUCAAAAGAAGAGACGUCAAGGGCGUGGUCUAAGAAUGAAUUAGCAAUAUACCAGGUAUGCAUCAAAACUUUUUGUUUUGUAUCAGGAACAACACUAUUUUUGUAGCUGUUCAUUGUAUAACUAUAUGUCAAUUGUUUAUUUUUUCCUAAAUAUUCAAAAACUCAGAAAAGUCAUUAAGUCCUUUAAUUUUCAAUUUGUCUCUGCAGAAAGGUUGCUGGAGAGUUGGACACGUUUAUUAGCAAGUUAGUGUUGAUGUUCUGGCAAAAUAUCAAUGGAUGCAUCUGUUUUUCACUUUAUGUACAUGGUUGUCAAAUACAUAUGUUACAGUUGAUUUCUGUAGUUUCGUGGCUUCAGAGAUAGCAACCUCUAUACUCUUGUAUGAUGGUUGUGUCCUAAUGUAUCGUAUUAUUUUAUAUUGAUGAUUUUCCUUUAAAUUGGGUGAAUGUGAUGUGCAUCUCAUUGGUGCACAAGCUGUACUUGUGAGCUAAUAAGAUUGUCUUUACUAUUAACAAAAAAAUGCAUUACUAAGGUUUAAUGAUCAAAGUACAGACUUCAGUCUCUAGAGAUCCCUUCACCUGACUGAAACCAAGUGUUAGGAAGCACGCUUCUGAACUUAUGCAGCUAACUAUACUCAUGAUGCUGUCAUUUCUGCAGAGGCGGAGCUUGGUGGGGUUCGUGGGUUCGGACGAACUCACUAGCUUUUCUGUAGACUCUAUAUUUGUAUUAAAAAAUUAAAUAAACACAUAUGUAUAUUAGAAAAGGGUCAAAAUUACCCUUGAACUAUGUGAAAUAGACCAUUUAUACCCUCCAUUAUAUUUUGGGUUCAAAAAUACCCUGUCGUUAUCCCAAGAGACCACAAAUACACUCAAUAUUUAACUACCCAAAUUUUUAGUGACAUGGCAAGCCACAUGGGACUAAACCCUCCGCCUAAGUGUUGCCAACUAGGAUUUACUUCAACAAAAUUACACCUUUAGCUGCGACGAUUGUCGCCACAAAAUUCCAAAAAUAUUGCCACUAAAGAUUUUGAGUGAUUUCAAGUGGCGACUAAGACUGCAAUAUCCAUUCGCUAGUAAAACCUGUUAUUUCAACAAGAAAAUAUGAUAAUUAAUUUUCGGUUGAAGCCUAAUUUUCUAAAAUAAAUAACAUGUACUAUCAAUAUUAAAAACAUCCAAUAUUAUUACGAAAAUCAUCAAAAUUACUUCUCGACUCAAAUCUCCUAUUACAUAAUGCAUUAUUGUACAUUUUAUGCAUCUACAUAUGACAUUAAUAUAAAACAUAUGGUGUCUUCAAACUCCUCCUGGAUCAAUAUCUUUUGAGAUUUUUUAAAAAUAAUGAAGAAAAAAACACAAAAUCAUAAUUUAAUGCUAAAAAUCAAUGAAAAUCUCUAGUGACGAUAUGUUGGGCUUUUGGCAACUAUUGUCGCUGCUAAAGGUCUAAUUUUUUUUUAGUAAAUCCUAGUUGGCAACACUUAUGUGGAAGGAUUAGUCCCACGUGGCUUGCCACACCACUAAAAUUUUGGAUUGUUAACUCUUGAGGGUAUUUGUGGUCUCUUAGGAUAACGAUGCGGGCAUUUUUUAUCCCAAAAUAUAAAAAAGGAUAUAAGUGAUCUAUUUCAUAUAAUGCAGGAGUAAUUUUCACCUAUUCCGUUUUCUUUAAUUAGGGAAGUAGAUUAUUCUUAUUCUUUAAUUUUUGGAAAAAAUUAGACCAAUUGAACAAAGUAAUAUUAUACUAGCGAAUAAAAUUUCAUGUAAUAACUCAUUUGUAAGAGUAUACUUCUUUUGUUCAUUUUUAUUUCAUAAUGAGUUUGCAUGUCUUUAAAAAUAAAAAAUAAAUGAAGUGCAUAUUUUACUAUAACUCUAAUAUUAAUGAAAUAUAAUCUUAAAUUAUGAGGAGUGAUUUAGAUAAUUAAUAAUUACUAUUAAAUGUAAAAUAUAUAUUUGUUUUUUGUAUAUGCUUAAGUGAACUAUUUUUAAUAUAAUGAAUAAAUAAAAAUGAAUGAAGAAACAUAUAACAUUUAAUUGUCAUAAUUUGUAUGGAAAUAAUAUAUUAAAACAAACACAUUUGCAAUAUAGUUGAUUAAAUUAAUCAAUUCGUGCGGUGUAGAGGCAUAUUUAGAAGAAAAACGCUUUGUAUCAAAGAUUUUUUCAUAUUCAAGAGUCAAGACUCAAAUUUGAGAUUCCUAAUUAAUGAAGAUGUUACUCAUCAAUCAUCAACCACACCAUAUCCUUUGUUGAUAUGAUAUAUUUAAUUGGUUGUUCCAAAAUUGAAGUGUCCUAAUUUUCUUUUUUGUUUCUCACCCGGUAUUUGAUACACACAUUGAAGUCUAAUUAAAUUCGGAUUCAUACCGAAAAGUCCUUAAGAUCAUAAUCCUUAAUAAUUAAGCAAUCAAACAAACAAGUCACCUCACAAUAUAAUCAUGACGUGUAACCUUAAAAACUAUCCUACGGCCAUGCAAUCACGCUUACGUGGACAGCUUAGAGCACGUAUCCCUAUAAAAAUUAAGCAUUUGCAACGUGACUCUAAAGAUACUGACCAUAGUUCACUAUAAACCGUUCGAUGAAUCGUCCCCACAAAUUGAACGGUUAGAUACUCAUCUGUAAUACGGAAAAGUAUACACCCGGCUGUCACUUUAAUGGCAUUGGUUUCUUAAGUGUACUCUCGAAUUUCAAUUUUCGCCCAACCCAACUGCCGAAGCAAAGCUAAAAACGAGAAAUAAUAUGCAAAUGCAAUACGCAACUCUUGAAGAGCACCUGCCAUUCAAUUCAAAAUUUCUGGAGAAAAAUUGUUAGAUCAAUCUGUCUUUCUCCUUACGAUUUUUGUUUUACAGCAUUGUUUGUUGUUGUUGUUUUUCAAUCUUCAUUCAGGAAGAAGUAUGAAGAAUUGUAAAGUAUCGAUUGUAACUUCCCUUUCGCGACACUCUUGCUACACUUUCUAGGGUUCGUUCUAACUUUUCCCUCUUUUUUUUUUUUGUAUUUUUGCUUCUUUUCUGGUUACAGUUUGCAGAUGAACUUUUUUUUUUAUGGAAAGUUUUAUGUGAGAAAGUCGAAGAAGGUUGUGGGAUUAGCGAUUACUUUGUAUGGUAGUUUUGUGAUUGAUGAAAGCUGUUUGGUAGAUAAUUAAUUGGUGUUUUCUGGUGCUUUACUUGGCUAUGUACUUGGAAACUCCCUUUUUGCCAAUUGAAAUGUUGGAAUGGUCGUGUUUUGGCAAUUCCACCUUUUCCUUUUAAAACUUAGUUUAUAUGUGAUAUAAAUCGAAAGAGGUGGAAUUUACUUGUCUGCUGGUUUGUUAAUUGUUGGAGUGGUUUCUUUUCUAGGUUUAAUUUGAAGAAGGUGGUGGGAUUAGUUAUUACUUUGUAUGGUAAUUUUGUGAUUGAUGAAAACUGUUAGGUAGAAAAAUUAAUUGGUGUUUGUGGUGCUUUACUUGUCUAUGUACUUGGAAACUCCAUUUUUGCCAAUAGAAAUGUUGGAAUGCCCAUGCUGUGGCAAUUCCACCCUUUCCUUUUAAAACUUAGUUUAUGUGAGAGAAAUCGAAAGAGAUGGAAUUUACUUCUCUGCUGGUUUGUUAAUUAUUGGAGUGGUUUCUUUUUUAGAUUUAAUUUAUGUAAGACACUUCAAAAGAGGUGGUGGGUUUUAUAUGUAUGCUUAUUGGCUUUUUAAUCCGUUGCUAUUCUGGAGAAAGCCAUGUUCCUUGUUUAUUUUGUUUGGGUUAUCUGGCUCAUAUGGUCAUUUGGGAUAGUUUGGACUAUGUUAUACAUUCUUUUUGAUUAUUUUGUUUGGGUUAUCUGGCUCGUCUGGUCAUUUGGGUUAGUUUGGACUAUGUUUUACAUUCUUUUUGAUUAUUUUGUUUGGGUUAUCUGGCUCGUAUGGUCAUUUGGGAUAGUUUGGACUAUGUUAUACAUUCUUUUUGAUCAGUAAGGACUAUGUUUUAAACAUAGUGAAGUGCAUAAUGAGUUCUUGAACCCAUUUACUGGGAACUAAAUGCAUAGCUAUUUAAAGGGUUCGUCGUGACGUCUGUUAUGGCUCGAUAUGUUCUAUUUUGGUAUUAGGUGGAGUAGCUCGCUUGGUUUCCCUAAAAAUAAAUAAAUGGAACGCUGUUUUCUUUUAAAUUCAUCAUCAGACCUGUCUUGGAACAUAAGGGUCUUAUCAAUUUCCUUUUUAUCUGUUUGGGUCAGAAAGCAUUUAGGUACUCAAGCCUGCUUGAUUCUGGGUAUUUUGUUUUUAUGAAGUCCAUAAUAUGAAAAUUCUUGAAGUUUAAAUCAUUGAAGAUCAUUGUGGUGUAGUGGUGGAGUUGUACAUCUAGCUGGAUUUUGAUUUUCAUAGAUCAUGGAUGACUCAAAUAGUAGAUUGUACUGUCAAGGAGAACUUCUAGAGGAGAGGAAUAAGAAUAAUGAUGUGUGUGCAGCUUAAGGAGCUUGGAAUUUAAAUAGAGAAAAUUGGACAUGAUGCUCUCUGAAGCAUAAUAAAAUCUAGUAUAACCUUGAGUAUCAUAUACACCGUUUAUAUCUUUUUUUCCUCUCCUGUGAACUUAAGGAGACUUCUACAUAUGGACAAAUAAUCUUAUUUGUGAAAGAUAGGUGAAACAUUCGAAUAUUGAUAGUUCUUGAGUGUUCAUUUCACCUGGCCGAUUGAUGUGUGAAUAUUUGGUUUAACAGUGCUAGUUGGUACAUUAAGUGAUAUCAAUCGGGUUACUUGAAGUAAAAACAAGAAAAUAACAACAACAUAUCUAAUGUAAUCCCACAAGUGAGUGUGGGGUCUAGGAAGGGAAGGGUAGGGUAGAGAGGUUGUUUCCAAUUAGACAAUAAGGAAAUAAUAAGGAAGCGAAAAAUAAGAAAGAUUAAAGACUAGAGGUUGUUUCCAAUUAGACAAUAAGGAAAUAAUAAGGAAGCGAAAAAUAAGAAAGAUUAAAGACUAUAAAAAUAAGAUAGACGAGAUUCGAGAAAUAAAUUUCAGAAUCUCCAAAGUAAUGACUAAGAACACUAACUAAUUGUGGUAAACCUAAUUAGCAGAUUAAGGAUAAUAAUAAAUAUAAGGCUAAAUGAAGAACACUAAUUGAUUGUAGUAAACCUAACUAGUAGAUUCAAUUCAAGAACUUAGAUGAAGUGAUCUAGAUCCCUAAUUGAAUAUUAAGGACAAUAAUUAAUAUAAGACUAGUUACCUUUUUUUGAUAACCGAGAAUCCAUCUAUGACCCGUCCUUUGGACCAAUCACAGCCUUCUAAACUCGGUGGAUAAUGGGCCCGCCCCUCUACCCUUCUCCACUUAAAUACCGGGCUUCGCUUUGCAUGGUGUGGGGGCUUGAACCUGCGACCUAAGCCACAAAUCCUCCACCUUUUGCCACUCGAGCUAGGCCUUGGAGGCUAAGACUAGUUACCUUCUUCAAUUAAUCAAGUAAGAACCACAAAUAUCAAGCAAAAAAGUAUCUUAUCUCUUAAAAGAAUCAUUGUCGUAUGGUUGUAAGAUAAACCUCAAGUAACCAAUACUGAAAGGUUUAAAGAAAAGAAAACUCAAUAAUAUUACGAAUGUUGUUCCUUACUUUUGAUGUAAUCACUUCAGGAGCACACUAUUGGUGUACUUCUCUUGUUUAUAAUACCAGUUAACCUACUCAAAAGAAUAUUAUGAAUGUUGUUGUCUAAGAGAACAAAAUCCACCACCAUAUAUAGGGGGAAAUCGUCCAAUGCUAGCGCAAAUAGCAUGAGACUGGAAUCCUACUUUUUAUGGAAACAAUAAGUAUUAAAACCUAACAAGAAAAUUUUGAACUUGGAAACUUAUAAAUUAGGAAAGCAUGUAAAAUUAGUAUCAUGCUUUUUUCCAAAACUACCUAACAAAAAGUAAGGAAAGAAGUGCAAAUUUUGCACCAAAAACUCACGCCCAGGCACUCGAAUUUGGGUAUGAAUUCCAUCUUUUGGGCGUGAUUCUCAAUCUAUUGUGGACUUCAUUUUCAGCUCCCUUGGGGUUUAUGUGGGCCCCGAUCUUCCUCCUCUUGGGCUUGGACCAUGAAAUACGUGUAACACGUAGACCACUCUUCCCCAUAGUUUUCUUGCACUCUUCUUCCACGAUAAGCAUCGUCUUGAUCCUCCAUUGAGGUUCAACAAUGUUGUUUUGCAUCUCCUUAGCUUCCAACACUUCAUGUAAGUCCUUUAAUGGAGGUAUGCGGUAUGCCAGCAUGGAAGCUAUAGUAUGGUUGAACUCUGCAUGUAUUUCUCGUAUCUGCUUAAAUAGUAACCUCAAACAAGGGAUUUAGGGUUAGUCCUUUUUGUUUGUCAUGUCUUUAUGAAGUAAAAGAUUUUCCAUAAUCCAAAAGCCUGGUCACGAUCCUAGCAAGUAGAAACAUGGAGCACAAGUACUGGCUUUUCUUGAACAUGUCAUGCUGAAAAGAUAUGCAUUUAACUUUGCUUAUUGAUGUGCCAAUAUAUGGCUAAUAAUGGUUGCUGUUACAUUACGGAAAGUGAACUGAUGCAUCUGUAUUAUCUGGUAAAAUGUUGACUUUAAACAGUGGAUCUUGGGUUACACCUUUCUAUUGGCCAUGGUUCUAUGAGAUAAAGGGAUUUUUUGGAAUCUGAAAGCUGAUAAAAAUAUCUAGCAAGCAGAGAAAUUUAAAAAUGAAGAUCCUGUCUCUAUAGUACAUGUCAUACUCAAAAUAUUUACAUUGCAAUUGAGGAUGUUAUUCUUUCUUCUUUUCUUUUAUUUCUCCCAUAUCAUCUUAUUGGUAAUAUCGUAGUAGUCAUGCAUAAGUUUUUCCGUCUUACAUUCAAAUGUUUGUGGCAGGGUUCCCGAAGGCAGGAUAUUGAGAAUUUGAUCCUCCUCAUUCGCCAUCAGUUUUUUAUGGAUAUGAAGUAUUAUGCGGGAUCCUUCUGAUGCCCACAUGUCUGGUUCAUGGUUCUGUUGGAGAGAACUAAUUGAAACUGAGGCAACCUGCCUUAUAUAAGUUCGUUUGGGAAGGAAGCUAAAGUGAUUAAUUUCUAUCUUCGGUGGCAUGGAAGCUUGUGCUUGAGUUUUGAAUCAUCCUGAUUGUGGGCCAUAUUUCUAGAGAUUCUGAGAAGCAGCAUCUUAAAAUGGGAUGGAGGGGAAUUUUAGUCUCGUUACUAUUUUCCAUCACUUUGGGUGAAUCAUCAAGCAAUUCUAGAAAAAUGUGGUCGCUGAAGAUAGUUUCAGAAUCAUCUCCACUUUAUAGUUGGGCUGUAUACAGUGCUGGAUUUUUUGUACUGGUGGCUGUUGUCCUGUCUAUGUAUCUAAUUGUUGAGCAUCUAGCUGCAUACAAGCAGCCUGAGGUUUUUGCUUACACCUGUUCAAUCUUCUUGAAGUUAUUUUUUACUAGCAUACAUCAUUUGAUCCUAUGGGCUGCUGAUCUUUUCUUUUUGGAUCAGUUUGUGGGGCUUGAUUGAAUACAUGCUUGUAUUGUUAUUUUUGUACAGACAGUCGUUGUGGCAUUUCUUAGCUUAAUUGUCUUAGAGAAACUGAUAAGACUGAAUUAUUUCUUACCACAGGAGCAGAAGUUUUUGAUUGGACUGAUCUUGAUGGUUCCUGUUUAUGCAGUGGAAUCGGUAAGAGAACCUUUAGCUUGUAUGCUAGCAUUUUCUCCAGUUUAUUUGGAAGUGAUCUUUAAAGUUUGUUAUAAACAUAUUGAGACAUUGGCGGUUAUUAUUAUUAUUAUUUGAAAUAAAUCUCUCUAUGGACAAGCAGAGAAAAUACGACCUACCAAAAGUACCAGUUAUGCUUACAAAGACAGUAAAAGAAGGGCUAAGAUAAGAAAUGCAAGUCACUUUAGGUUUUUGUCAGUUCUGCAUUUAGGUAUUUUUUAUUAAAGAAAAGAUCAGUUGGUAACUUACUGUGACUUUGAUAAUGUAAAGCUCCUACGGCGAACACUUGAUAUGUUUGUGGGCGAGGAUUGGAUUUUGUGAUGCCUCUGGAACAGAAUUCAUGGCUCACUGUUUAUUCCAGUGUUGGUUAAUAUUGUUUCUUGGUCCACAAUAAUUUCUGAGCAAUCGCCACAUGAUUCAUUUCUCAUGAAAAAGAACUGAUGAACAAAACAUGUAUUCUUUAUUCAGCUAAAUACAAAUGAAAGCCUUAACAAAUGGUUAAACUACCAAUUAAACAGGGGAAAACUUAGAUAAAAGGAACCAGAUAAAGUAUAUGAGGUGGUGCAGAUGCUCUAGCAUAGCAUAAGUUCCAAAAAAGGAAAAUUUCAUAAAAGAAUGGAUGAAAAGGGUUAUCUGUAUUUUCCUUGUCAUAAAAAGUUGAAGGAAUGGAUGUAAAGGGUAAAAAUGUGGUACUUGAAGUUAAAAUUGACUUGGGUGCAUCUUCAACAACCUAUAUGUCUAAUUUUACAGUAUUGUCAUCACCCUAAAUUUAACAAUAUCAUGUUGUCUUUCUUUAUGUUUAUGAUUCAGUAAGGGUUCUUGUUGAAUGUUUGACCAGUUCUUUGCAUUUACCUGACAGUUCUUAUCUUUAAUGGACUCAAAUGCCGCAUUCAACUGUGAGAUCAUACGUGAUUGUUAUGAGGCUUUUGCACUAUAUUGCUUCGAGAGGUAUCUAAUAGCCUGCUUAGGUAUGUCUUCAGCCAUAGGUUGUUGCCCUCUUCUCCUAUUUUAAGUUGUCCCUUGGAAAAAUCCCACCUUGAAAAUUUUAAAUGCUUCAGUUACCAGCUUAGAGUCUGCUAGUGUAACUAUAAUUGUGUUCAUUAUUCGCACAACCUUUUCCAAAUGUUGCUCCAUCCAUGUUGCUUUUGCAUCUUAUGUCACAAUGGAGUUGUAUGGUUUUCUCAAUUCUCCGUACUCCUCUACUGGUAUAAAAUUAUGCUAGCUUCUUUUCUUUUAGAAGUUCCUUUCUUUAAAGAUGAUUCUCAUUUGAGCUACAUGACAUAGGUGGAGAGAAAAACACCAUCGAAUUUAUGGAAAGUCAAAGUGUUGUAAGUUCCAGCUUGCCUCUGCUGGAUGAUGCCUAUGCAUAUGGAGUUGUUGAACAUCCUUUCCCAUUGAAUUGCUUUAUCAGGGAGUGGUAUCUUGGUUCUGACUUCUAUCAAGCAGUAAAAAUUGGGAUAGUGCAAUAUGUAUGUGCCCCUCUAGUAAUUUGCUAUGGAUUUUGACAGUUCCGUCAAGUUUCUAUGUACUGAAUAAUUAAGGAUUUCCUUCCAGAUGAUACUUAAGAUGAUAUGUGCUUUACUGGCUGUGAUUUUUCAUCUUUUUGGCAUCUACGGUGAAGGCAUAUUUGAGUGGAGAUAUGCGUAAGUCAACCCAGGUUUUCCUUGAUACUUCAAAGAUAUCAGUAUUUGUUCUACCUGUUUUGUGACUCUUCUACUGCAGAUCUCUAGCCGAGCCUCUGGAUUAAUUGAAUUUAUGUCAUAUAUUGGAUAUGUCAUGAAAGCAGAAGCUUUUCACAAUGUUAAUCUGAGUGUUAAUUCUUGCAGCUAUCCGUACUUGGCAGUUGUUCUUAAUUUUAGCCAGACGUGGGCCUUAUAUUGCCUUGUGCAGUUUUAUUCAGUCACCAAGAAUAAAUUAGCACCGAUUAAGCCGUUGGCGAAGUUUCUGGUAUUCAAGUCAAUUGUAUUCUUGACGUGGUGGCAAGGUAUAGCUGUUGCCUUUCUUUUGUCGUUUGGAACAUUCAAAGGUUCUUUGGCGCAGCUGUUGAAGACACGGAUCCAGGACUAUAUCAUCUGUAUUGAGGUCAGUUGUGUUUAUUGAAUCAGUUUCGUACACUUGUCAUUGCUUGAUCACUAUUUCUUGUGCCAACAGAGGCUCAUGAAUAGAAAUGAUUUAUUUUGGCAUGGGAUAUGUGCUAACUUUUGGUUUUGCAUUGACGACCUGCUGGAGUAUUCUGGCUAUGAACUUCAGUGUAUUUAAGUGAAGGCAUAGUGUUCUUGAAUAUUCUAGCUCUUUAUGCCUCUGCCGUUCUCGAAAUUGAGUUGUUCUAGAAUUAGUGAAGGGUGGGGGGAGGGGAGUGGCAACUUAAAAUUAAUGACAUUGAGAGCUGGAUCACAAAACGUACCUAAGUAUUGGACUUGUACAUUUAAGUUGUUUCAUGGAACAGCUGUCCACAUGAUAUAUUUUGAGCUGCACUCAUAGGUGGUACUUGGCUGCUGAAGUUGACAUUUAAAAGUAUAACUUGUUUGUGAUGCAGUACCAAAAAAUCUAGUGGAGCAAAGAUAGGAAGAAGAAUAGUUAUAAAGUGAGAAAGUAUCAUUCAAGCCUUCUAAAUUGUUAAGAAUGACACUUGGGCCUAACUCAACCCCAAAAACUAGCAUGAGGGAGGUUUGCCCAAGUCCAUAUAAACAGACCACCAGUCCAUUCCCCAACCAAUGUGGAACUCCCACUCACUUUAACAUCCCUUCACGCCCAGACCCAAACUAGAGUGUGGACCAGGAGCUCAAACAGGGGUGGACCUGACUAUGAUACCACGUUAAGAUAUGACACUUGGGCCAAACUCAACUCCAAAAGUUAGUACAUGACGGGAGGUUUUCCCCGGUCUAUAUAAAUAGACCACCAGUCCACUCCCCAACCAAGGUAAUACUCUAAUCCACUUUAACAUAAACAAAGUACAUGAUGGGGAUCCUAUUUGUAGAAUAUUGAAUUCUAAACAAUUAGCACUCUUAGAACUUCAUGAGAGUCCUUCUUGAUGCCUCUCAAUGAUAUCUCUCUUUAUUAAAAAAACUCUUAAAAGUUAAAACUAAUAAAAUUUCAUCUCCAGCUACAAGAUAAAACAAAGUUAAAACUGUUAUUUCUGACAAAAAGAUAAUAUUAUGUUUAAUAAGUAAACCCUAUAUCUAACUGAAAGAAACGGGAUUUAUACUUGAUUUUUUAACUCAGGGAUAAGAUAAAUAAAAAUUAGGGAUAAUUGCACUUUUGAUCCCUCAGGUAUUAGUAAAUUCUGAUUUUUGUCCUCAUGUUGUGCUAUUUCACUAAGCAUAUAUGGCCUUGAAUUAAUUUAACUGUGAGCUUUUGUUCCCUUAACAUUGGAAAUAUGUAUAUUUAAAUCAUCUUUAAAACUCUAUCAGCCUGAAUGUAAAAUAAUGUUACAAAAUUCAAUAUAUAACACACGUGCAAUAAUAUGGUUUAACUGUCAAUAAAUUUAUUAAAUUUGUGAAGACACAUGCUGAAGGAUAAAAGAUGCAUAUUUCAAUUAGUGAAGGUUAAAUGUGCUCAAACAGAGUUGCUAGGACCAUAAUGUGAUUUGUUUUAAUAUUUCAGGGACUAAAAUAUACUAAUAUCCCUAAAGAUUAAGAUAUUGAUAUAGCAACCCCUUGUGGAAACAUGGGAUAGAGGUACAAGAAAAGCAAAUCAAAUAGCUAAUUCUUGUGACUGGGAUCAUGUAAGGAACUUGUUGUUUUGUUGGGAAGGAAAUCCUUGACAACUGAUCAGAAAAAUUGUCUUGAUAUACAUGGGUAGAAAUAAGAAGAAACUUCAACGGUUGUACCAGUACUGGCUGCAACAUUUUGCUAUGGAUCACAAGCAUCAUGUGUCUGGUCUCAGAAGGAAGGGGAAGAAUCUGCAUAUGGAUGAUACAAGAGCAACUUUUAUGAUUAUUAUGUUGCAACAAUCUUUGUAUUUUCAGUAAGAGAAAGAGCCAGACAAUUUUCCUGGAGAUUUACUCAACUGAGGUUGGCUGUAGUUAGCCGGGAAGAUAUAAUUCCAGAAUUAAGAUAGAGAUUAAUCAGUUGACUAAGUAGGCAACAAGUUAAAAGUAUAGGUAGGUGGCAGCUGCGAAUCCUUGCCAGGAACCAACAUCAAAUUUAAAGAUUCCAUUGAUGUCAAAUGAGAACAAACCUAGGGAAGACUACUGCAAAUAUGUUUGCUGGCUUGGGUAGACAUCAAAGAAGAGAGGUUGACUUGCACAGAAGUAAGAAGAUGGGUGCAGAGAAUGUGGAGGAAUCGCUUCUGGAAAAAAGAGAUAAUCACUAGCUAUUACUUCAAAGUCGAAGCUUAAAGAAUUUAUCAUGGCUGAUAUGUAUCAGAAUAAUCAUCAAGUGUCUCUAUGCUGGUGGUUGCGGACUUGCACAAUUCACCAGUAAGAUGAACACCCAAAACAUGUUGCAACACCCAAGCAUGUUUAGAUAAGGUUUGUUAGACUUCACAAUUCACCUUUGACCAUAAAACAUGUUUUAGAGUAAUUGGUGAUAGAUGCUGGGGAUUUCUGGAGAUUGGUGCCAUUACAAGACUUGGAGUGCACCCUUUUUUUCUCAAUACUUAAUAGUGCACCUUUAGUGGGAUUGUAUUUGUGUGUGGUGGUCUCUAAGUCUAUCCAUCAGAUUGAAGCUGAGAGAGUAAGAUUUACUAUUCCAACCAUAGUGGUGGAGAUACCUUUUUAAAAAAAGAAGCUUUUGUAAUCCUAGUUGAGGCUAGUGGAAAAGGUGGAUCUGAAUCAUGUAGUAGAGACUUUUUAUUGAAUUAAUUAAUCCCUUCAAGAUUGAGGAUCAAUUGUAGCAAAGAGUUGGUAUAAAGAAUUUCAAAGGUCAAAGUCCCUGCCCAAGAUGUCACGACUUAUGUCUAAAAAUGCCAUAUUUCAAAAUUUAAAUUGCAGAAUAGUGUCACGACCCGAUUUCUCAAGUCAUGAUGGCACCUACUAUAACCCACCAACAGGUAAGCCAACCCGUAACCCGGAACAAGUAAUGGGUCUGAGGGUAGAAACUAAACAAGAGUAGGCAAAUAAUAAUAUAAACAGGCAAAAGCAAACCAAAACAUAUAUACAAAUAAAGAUCCCUCCCAGAACCUGGAAGUCACUAGUACAGAGCUACUAACAAAAUGAGUACAAGUCCCAAAAGUGGACAACAGAGACUGGACUGUCUCGAAAGGUAAAAGACAAGUCUAUAUAUACAGAUGGAGACUGAAAUAGUACAAAACGUCGUGUGCUCACUCCCGUCUCCGGAUCAGUCUGCUCCAAGCUCGAUCAACGCUGGCUACUAGUGCCNNNNNNNNNNNNNNNNNNNNNNNNNNNNNNNNNNNNNNNNNNNNNNNNNNNNNNNNNNNNNNNNNNNNNNNNNNNNNNNNNNNNNNNNNNNNNNNNNNNNNNNNNNNNNNNNNNNNNNNNNNNNNNNNNNNNNNNNNNNNNNNNNNNNNNNNNNNNNNNNNNNNNNNNNNNNNNNNNNNNNNNNNNNNNNNNNNNNNNNNNNNNNNNNNNNNNNNNNNNNNNNNNNNNNNNNNNNNNNNNNNNNNNNNNNNNNNNNNNNNNNNNNNNNNNNNNNNNNNNNNNNNNNNNNNNNNNNNNNNNNNNNNNNNNNNNNNNNNNNNNNNNNNNNNNNNNNNNNNNNNNNNNNNNNNNNNNNNNNNNNNNNNNNNNNNNNNNNNNNNNNNNNNNNNNNNNNNNNNNNNNNNNNNNNNNNNNNNNNNNNNNNNNNNNNNNNNNNNNNNNNNNNNNNNNNNNNNNNNNNNNNNNNNNNNNNNNNNNNNNNNNNNNNNNNNNNNNNNNNNNNNNNNNNNNNNNNNNNNNNNNNNNNNNNNNNNNNNNNNNNNNNNNNNNNNNNNNNNNNNNNNNNNNNNNNNNNNNNNNNNNNNNNNNNNNNNNNNNNNNNNNNNNNNNNNNNNNNNNNNNNNNNNNNNNNNNNNNNNNNNNNNNNNNNNNNNNNNNNNNNNNNNNNNNNNNNNNNNNNNNNNNNNNNNNNNNNNNNNNNNNNNNNNNNNNNNNNNNNNNNNNNNNNNNNNNNNNNNNNNNNNNNNNNNNNNNNNNNNNNNNNNNNNNNNAUCGCCUAACUAAGGCCCAAACUAUCAGACUCAAGUCUGCUACACCAGUCUACAGGGAUCUAAGCCGGCCGAGCGACGUUGGGGUAAAACUAAGGCCUAUCGGAUUCGAAUCAUGUAUUUCUAAGGCCUAUCAGAUUUAAACUUAAACUAAGGCCCAAAUGCUUCAAAUAUACAAGAAUUAAGCAUGCAAGCACCCGACAUAGCGAGGAGGGUCCGUUAAUAACACAAAGCAUGCUCACAGUUACCCGAUAAUUCNNNNNNNNNNNNNNNNNNNNNNNNNNNNNNNNNNNNNNNNNNNNNNNNNNNNNNNNNNNNNNNNNNNNNNNNNNNNNNNNNNNNNNNNNNNNNNNNNNNNNNNNNNNNNNNNNNNNNNNNNNNNNNNNNNNNNNNNNNNNNNNNNNNNNNNNNNNNNNNNNNNNNNNNNNNNNNNNNNNNNNNNNNNNNNNNNNNNNNNNNNNNNNNNNNNNNNNNNNNNNNNNNNNNNNNNNNNNNNNNNNNNNNNNNNNNNNNNNNNNNNNNNNNNNNNNCUCGAAACGCUGCCCCGCUAUCAAAAAUAGAGUCACAACGUUAAUACGGUCGUUUAGACACCAAAAUCACAACAAACGGAGACGGGUCAAUUUUGGAGUCAAAACGGGAAUCGUGGGACCCGCGCUGGAAAUUCCGGAAUUAACCCCAAAAGUGGGUCCUAACCAGUUUCCCCCAGCUCAUAUCCCAAAAUGGGACACAAUUCGGGGCUCGGGAACAACACACUAUCAACAUGCAACCAAAACCCAAAUUACACUAAAACGGAACAACAAUAGCAGCAGCUAUUUACAAGAAAAUAUCAGAAACGAGGGUCCAGAUGCUGAAACCAAUCACACCAUGAUGAUCCUCACGAAAAACCCCAUAAUCUAAGCUUUUGAAUCACCAUAUUCGCACCUAAAAUGACCACGAAAUCACCUUCUAAAUUUUUCCAAAAAUUGAGCUCGAAAUGAGCUAAGACAGCAGCUAAAACACAACUUUUUACCUCCAACAAAAAGUUAAAUACGAAAUCUAACCACGCCAACACAUUCUCCUU